AAAGGAAUACAUUAGAUAAGCUAAAGGAGGAAAUAAUUCAUUGAAAUAAAUAAGUUAAAAAAAGUGUUCAUAGACAUUUAUGAACAUCUCCAACUAAAGCUUAAACUGUUAGAUUUUUUUCCCCAAAGAAGAAGAUGAACCAAAAAAAAAAAAGGAGCAAAAAGGGAGGGGAUACAGUGAGAUUAAGGGACUUAUAUGAAAUUAACGAUAAGAUCGAAGGAGCGCUCCACAAAAUGUACAAAUAAUGGCUCUCCAAGAUUUCUUGUAAAACGGGACGUAACAAAAUCUGGUGGAGGUUUUCAUAUCGGCGACACGUGCUCCUCCGCCACACCGUGAACAAAUCCCCGCCGCCGGCUUAGUAGUGCUCACUUUCUUUGUCUGAUCAACGAGGAAACAAAAGAACACCAUGGCUUUUUUUUUUGCACUGAAUGAAAAACUCCGUGUGCUUUGAAUAACAGUUGGAACUUAGAAAAAGAAAAAAAAAAAAAACAACACUCUUCAGGACUUCUUGGAGUUUGGGUUUUUAAAGAUAAAGAUUGAAAGAAAGGGCUCAGUUGUAUAUAUAUUUAUGUUUGAGGGUUAAAAGUCGAGCAACUUUGGUAUAUGGGUGAAAAAAAUUUUUUAGAUACUUUUCUAUAUCUAAUAAUUAUAUUGGAUUCAACCAUGGUUGCUCCUCUGGUAUCUUUGGAAAGCAUUAGUAGCGAGAAAAUUGAUGAUUAAUUGUUUAUCUCUUUAAAAAAUAUCAGUAACGAGAGAAUUAAUCAUUGUUGUAUACGGUGAAUACUUUGAUUUCAACCUAAAAAAGUCAUUUUGAGUUGGAAAAACUCAAGCUGAAAGUAUGUGAAUAAUAAAUAACAUUGUUUAAUCACUAUGUUUUAAGGUUAAUUGAUUAAAUAAGGAAAGAGAUUAGUUAAAAAAGUUUUACCAAGCCGACUGAAUAUUAGCUCGAUUGAUAUUGGUAUUUUUACUAAUGUAGGAGGACGUGGCUUUAAAUGUGCUGAAGUAUAUUAUUCUCCUUAAAAUUUUAGACAUUAUAUCAAAAAGGUAAUUAUGAUAAGAACUUUUAAUGAGAUUAGUGUUCAAAAAGAAGUUUUAUCAAUGUUUUAAUGUUUAUUCCCGAUUCAAUUGAUUUGAAUAGUUAAACUAUCGAUCAAUCAACAAAUAAAUAAAAUUAAUAAAAAUAAAAAUUAUAUAUUAAAAAUAUAAUCUAAAAAUAUAAAUACAUAUUUGAGCUAACUAUAAAAAAAACUCAGAUCAAUACAAAGCAUAAACAAUCAAAAACCUGUAUAAUAGAAUAAAACUCAGUACCUCAAUAUUAAGAAUGAGUUUUUAAAUUAAAAAAAUAUGUUGAGUAAAUUAUAUUUAUAAUUUCAUUAUUAAUUUACGGAUCAUAAAGGAAAUUCAAAAUUUAAUGAAUUGUGAUUAAAUCCGAAUUUGAAUUAAGUUGUAGAGAGAAAUAAUUUUAAAUUGCAGAGAAAUCCAAACUUUGAUUAGUUAUGAUUGAAUCCAAAUUCGAAUAAAAUUGAAUCUUUAAAUAAAGUAAAGCUUUUAUAACACUAUUUUUUCGUCAUUAACUAUUGAAUAAUUCAUCUAGCUUUUUAUUACAUUAACACAAGUUCAAAGAGUUGUUCGAAGUUUAAGUGAGAAAAAUAGGCCAUGUGGGUUUCUGACACGUGUAAAGCAGUAGCUGGAUAUGGUCCCUAUAUGUUGACAGAAUAGGAAAAGACAGGAUAUCUAUAUAACUAAUAAGUAGUUGAUUCCACCGUUUCACUUUUUAGAGAAGGUUUAAUUACGCCGCGGAUGUUGUAAUUUUUUUAUUUUUUCAAUUUAGUCCUAUAAUUUUUUUUUCUAAGAAUAGGAUAAGCAAAAGUCGACAGACAAAAGGAAAAUCGCCAGCCAAAUUGUAAAACUUGUCUAAAGUUUUCUAUUCGAAAUUAAUUAGGCUUAUGUAACCAGACAAAUACAAGUUUGAUUUCUUGACAUUGACAAAUUUAAUUGAGGCCACGUUAAGUUGAAUAUGUCUACAUGCAAACAUAAUAGGUCAAGUUGGAUAAUAUAUGCAUUCAACUAUACUUUUUGGAAUUUUUUAUAAGUUCGGUUCAUGUAGGACAAAAUCAAGAUAUUUUAUUUUAUUUUAUUUUAAAAAGCUGAAAAUUAAAAUUGGGUAAACUACACUUAAGCUUAUUAAACUAUCAGUAUUUUUACAUUUUGGUCACUGAAUUGUUCAGAAGUUUUUAUUUAAGUCAUUGUACUAUUAGAGUUGUUGUUGUAUGGGACAUUGACCAUCAGAUCGACUUAGAUUUAAAAUAUGUUCUUCUACUAGUCAAUGGGUAUUGAUCCACCAUACCAAUCGUUAAAUUAUCGCUUGAAACUCGCUAGCCAAAUUAAAAAAAAACCCUUAAUAGCUCAACGAAUUAACUAAAAACUUUCAAAUAGUUAGGAAAAUUAAACGAAAAUUUCAAAUAGUUUAGUGACCAUUUUGCAACCUUUUGAAGUUGAGUGAUCAAAACGUAAAUUUACUAAUAGUUUAGUGACCUUGAGUAUAAUUUAUCCAUUGAAAAUUUGAUUUAUAAGCAAAUAUUUAACUUUGUAAUAGUAAUAUAUUUUUUAAAAAAAAUUAUAUGAAAUAGUUGCGUCAAAUCAAUAUAUAUCAUCAUUUUGGAUCUAGAUUUUUUUGGCACUAGAUAGUCACAUUGGAUCUUAAUUAAAUCUAAGGUGGAGUUGAAUCAAAUCACUAAAUAAGAGUAAAGCUCUCUCAAUGCUAGUUUUUUCAUUCACAAGAUUCAAAUUUAAAACCUGACUUUAAUUAUCACUUGUUGAUGUAUAUAAAUUCUAUUCAAAUUAUACAAUAUAAUCAUAUUUAUUAAAAAAAAACUCAAAUAUUUUUCUAGAAUAUCCUUUAAAUAAAUCUGAAAAUAGAUGAAUUUUCCAUAACCAUGACAUCAACAUUGUGUAAUGUAAAAACACAAUAGGAAACAAUUGUUGACUAUAAUUUUGUAAUGGUUAUUGGAUAAUUGAUAAUACAUGCAUAUAUAGAGAGAAUUAAUGUCUUAUACUUAGAUCAUUGAAAUUAAAAAAAAUUGACAAAUUGAUAAGUAUUUACAAAUCUUGGACCAAGAAAAAUAAAUGAAGAGGUAAAGCUAAAUGCCAAAUGCCCAUAAUUUAAAAUGUGAAUCUCACAUAUCUCAACUAUCAACAUUCAACCACCCUGAUAGCUCUAUUUGUGUUAGAUUAUUCAAGGGAUGUUAUUAAUUUAUUAAUUUAGUGAUGUAAUGCAAGGGUGUUGAAUUAAUAAUGUAUUAAUGCAUAAUGGAUAUUUCUAGAAUAUAUGUAUAUAUUUUUAAUGGUAGCACAAAUUUUUAUUCACAUGUUCACACAUUUUUGGAAGAGUACUUGAGAAAAGAAAGAAGAAGAAGAAGAAAAAAGGAACGCUCCCACAUGUUUCAUUAGCUAUUUAUUGUUUAUCAUAAUUAUAGAAAGUUUGAUGUAAUUAUAAACACAAAAAUAAUUAAGAUAAAAAAAUUAAAAAAUAUUUUAAAAUAUUAAAUAUUAGAUGAGUCUAUAUGAGCUAAUAUACAUAUUAUAAGUUAACUUUAGCUGAAAUGAAACGAUACACCUCAAAGUGAUCAAAACAAAAUAAAAUCAAACAUAACUCAUUAGAUACUAAUUUAAAAUUUAAACGAUACAUACGAAUUGAUAGAAUUGGUUCCAACUGUCAUAGUAAUUUGGGCCUUGAAUAAAUUUCGUUUGAACUGAAUUUAGUUCACUUAAAUGUGACAUAUUUGAUAUAUAGUAAACUAAUUUCUUUUUCACAUACAUUUAGACCUUAAAAUUCAAUUAUCAAAUAUAUUAUUUCUUUCAUCAUACAAAUCAUCUUGCAACUUACUAAUUUUUAUUCAAUUUUACAAUCCAAAAAAAAUUAAGUUGUUUGAUAAAUUCGAAAAAUAAAUAUUAAAAAUUUAAGUACUAAAUUUACGUGAUAAAAUUAAAAUUUUAUUCAAAAUUAAUUAUGAAAUAUAAUUACUUUAUUUGAUAAAUAUAGAUUUUAAAUUAUAAAAAAUUAUAUUCUAUAUUUUAUUCUUAAUUUUAAAUAUUUCACUUUAUUUAAAAAAAUUAAAUUUUAAUUGUUAAGUUUUUAUAAGAUAAUAUAAUAUUAAAAUAAAAUAAAAUAAAAAUUUUGAAAAAAUUUUACAUUAAGUCUACUUAUCAUUUUUCAAACUACUUUAUAGAAAAAAUUCUAUCAAUUUAUUAUUUUUAGAUUAUCAAACAUAUUUUAAAAAAUAAAUCAUUAAAAAUAUUAAUUUUUAAUUGAUUUAAUUUUUUCAACCACUUAUCAAAUAACUCCUAACUCUCAAAUUUUUUUUUCUAAAAUUUGUGUAAUAUAACACUACAAUUCUACAAAUCCUAUGGAGAGAAGCAGAGAUCAAGCAUAUAUAUGAUUCAUAUAUAUAUAUAGACAUUAAAUAUGGACAAAAAGCAAUAUUAAUGCAUUGAGAAAAUAUUAUGUUCAAAGAACAUGUUAAGAAAUGGCUUAAAAUUGGUAGUGGAUUGUUGUUGUUGGUAGUGGGUUGUUGGUGGUAGUGGAUUAGUGGAUGGUUGUUGGUGUCCAUUUUCAACCACAAAUCUUUGCCAAAGUUUUGGACAAUUAUGUCCUUGAACUCUCUUAUAAAUAGAGAGGUUCAUUAGCCAUAUUGAUCAUCCCAAACCAAGAGAGAGCAAAGCUUGUUCUUUGAAAGCUAGGAUUUUAGCUUUCGGGUUUUCUAUAGGGGUUGAGAGUUGUGAGGUUCUCGGGUUGUGUCUUGAGUGUAAAACACUUGUAAUCUUCAUCUUGUUAUAGUGAAAUUUCUUUUCGCCUCUGCCCGUGGACGUAGGCAUUAAAGCCGAACCACGUAAAUCCUUGUGUUCACUUUAUUUUUCGUUCCGGUCAAUUUACUUGUAGUCAUAUCGGAGUUCUCGAAUCGAUCCUUUCCGCAACAAAUUGGUAUCAGAGCGUAGUUGAAGGAGUGAUAAUAUUUUCUGAAUUGCCCUGUGACUGCAGCUUUGUCUGAUCUUUCACAUCAGGAAGAAAAUAUUAUCAUUCAUUCAAAGGUUCCAAAUUAUGGCUACAAGUGUUUCAUCGACUAAGUAUGAUGUCGAGAAAUUUACCGGGAAAAAUAGUUUCAGUUUAUGGCGCAUCAAGAUGCGGGCAGUGCUGGUUCAACAAGGAUUGCUAAAAGCAUUGUCUGGUAAAGAUAAAUUACCAAGCACGCUUUCGGAAGAGCAAAAGGAUGACAUGCUAGAAAGAGCACAUAGUGCUAUUCUGCUAUGUCUAGGAGAUGAAGUGCUACGAGAAGUAGCGGAUGAGAAAACCGCGUCCGGUUUGUGGCUCCGGUUAGAGAGCAAGUACAUGACGAAGUCAUUGACGAACCGGCUCUACCUCAAGCAAAGACUCUAUGCCCUGAAGAUGGAGGAAGGUACACCUGUUUCCCAGCACCUGGAUAAAUUCAAUUCCAUUAUCAUGGAUUUGAAUAAUAUCGAUAACAAAAUCGAUGAUGAGGACCAAGCAAUAAUUGUUUUGUGUUCUUUGCCUCCCUCGUAUGAGAAUUUUGUUGAUACAAUGAUGUACGGUCGUGAUGACCUGACUCUAGAGGAGGUGAAAAAUGCCUUAAGUUCCAGUGAGUUGAGGAAGAAAAUCACUGGUAAGGUGGUCGAAAACAAUGAAGGCGAAGGCUUGGUUGCUCGAGGAAGAUCCAAGGCAAAGGGUGGAAGUUCAAGUAAAAGCCAUCCUAGAUCGCAGUCCAAGAAGAGAAUACAGUGCUACUACUGUAAGAAGUACGGGCACAUGAAGGUAGAUUGUCCGAAAAGGAAGGAGAAAUCAGAAUCACAGGAGCAACAAAAUGAUCGUGCGAAUGUAGCUGAUGCAGAUUCUUCAAGUGAUGCCGAGAUCGUUCUUGCAGUAUCCGACUCUUACGCUGGUGGGAGAUGGAUUCUUGAUACGGGAGCUACAUUUCAUAUAAGUACUUCGAAAGAUGCAUUCUCAACAUACGAGAAGCAUUCUGGUUCAGUACUAAUGGGAAAUGACCACGCAUGUCAAGUCAUGGGGAUUGGCACAGUUCGUAUAAAGAUGUUUGACGGUAUUGUUAGAACUCUAACUGAUGUUCGGCACAUUCCAGAAAUGAAGAAAAAUUUGAUCUCUUUGAGUACGUUGGACAAGAAAGGCUUUCGGUACUCUGCUGAAGGUGGAGUUCUCAAGGUAUUCUCGGGUGCUUUGACUGUGAUACGUGGUAAUUUGGAGCGGGGCCUUUACUUCCUCGAUGGUUCCUCGGUUACAGGUGUUGCGGGAGUGUCAUCAUCAGAUGAUCUAGAUUCUGACACCACGAAGUUAUGGCAUAUGCGGCUCGGGCAUAUGAGCGAGAGAGGCUUAUCGGUGCUAAGCAAACGAGGAUUAUUGUCUGGGCAGUGUACAGGAAAGUUGAAUUUCUGUGAGCACUGCGUCUUCGGUAAGCAGACUCGGGUAAAGUUCAGCACUGGGAUUCACAAGACAAAAGGCACAGUGGAUUACUUCCAUUCUGACCUUUGGGGGCCUUCUCCGACAAUUUCUAAAGGUGGUUACAGAUAUCUGCUUACCUUUAUCGAUGAUUACUCGAGAAAGGUUUGGGUGUAUUUUCUGAAGAGCAAGUAUGAGGUUCUCAUCAACUUCAAGCAAUUUAAAGCUUUGAUCGAAAAUCAAACAGGAAAGAAGAUCAAGCGAUUCCGGACGGAUAAUGGCUUGGAGUUUUGCUCAGGUGAAUUCAAUGAGUUCUGCAAAAAUGAAGGAAUAGUGAGACACCGCACUGUUCGUCGAACACCACAACAAAAUGGAGUUGCAGAACGCAUGAAUAGAACUCUCUUGGAGCGAGCUCGUUGCAUGCGAUCAAAUGCUGGGCUCGGUGAAGAAUUUUGGGCUGAAGCUGUUAAUACUGCUUGUUAUUUGGUUAACAGAUCUCCGUCAACAGCUAUUGAGCUGAAGACUCCUGAGGAAGUAUGGUCUGGUUCUCCUGCUGAUUACUCUGGUUUAAGAGUGUUUGGCUGCCCUGCGUAUGCUCAUGUAAAUGAGGGAAAACUCAAACCGAGGGCGAAGAAAUGCAUAUUUCUUGGAUACGGCCAAGGGGUGAAAGGAUACAGGUUGUGGUGUCCUGAUCCGGUUUCGUCCAAGUUCAUCAUCAGCAGAGAUGUGACUUUUGAUGAGUCAUCCAUGCUUCGAUCCACCACAAAUUCCCGGGAAAAGGAGGAGUCAGAUAGAAUGGGAGAUCACGGUGUUGAGAAGCAGGUGGAGUGUCAGGUGGACGCUCCAAUUCCUACGGAAGGUACUUCAGUCCAGGAUGAUCAAGUUGAGGUGCAAGAUUCCGAUGAAGAUGAGUCACCUCAAGAAAAACCAUAUAGCAUUGCCACUGGAAGAACGAAGAGACAAAUCAAACCAAAUCCGCGUUACGCUAAUCUGGUGUCUUUCGCGCUCAGUGUGGCGGAGUCCAUUGGUAUAGAACCUUCCAGUUAUAAUGAGGCUGUCACGUGUGAUGAGUCGGCACAGUGGGCAAUUGCUAUGAGUGAGGAGAUAGAAUCUCUUCACAAGAACCAUACUUGGGAGUUGGUUAAGCCGCCAAGUAACCAGAAGAUAGUUGGUUGCAAAUGGGUCUUCAAGAAAAAGGAAGGCAUCCUAGGGGUUGAAGCAACUAGAUUCAAGGCACGAUUGGUUGCUAAAGGCUUCACUCAGAAAGAGGGGAUUGACUACAAUGAAGUUUUCUCCCCAGUCGUAAAGCAUUCUUCCAUUCGUGUAUAACUUGCCAUGGUGGCCAAGUCUGAUCUAGAACUUGAGCAGCUUGACGUAAAAACGGCGUUCUUGCAUGGUGAGCUCGAGGAAACAAUCUACAUGCGUCAACCAGAGGGUUUUACAGUUCCUGGUAAAGAAGACCAUGUCUGUCUAUUAAAGAAGUCUUUAUAUGGAUUGAAACAAUCCCCAAGGCAGUGGUACAAGCGGUUUGAUAGCUUCAUGAUUCAGCAUGGUUACACAAGAUGUGACUAUGAUGCUUGUGUCUAUCAUCGGAAGCUCUCAGAUGGUUCGCACAUUUAUUUGUUGCUGUAUGUUGAUGACAUGUUAAUUGCUUCCAAAAACAUGUCGGAAAUCAACAAGUUAAAGUCGCAGUUGAGUGGUGAGUUCGAGAUGAAGGAUCUGGGUGCUGCCAAGAAAAUUUUGGGCAUGGAUAUUCACAGAGAUCGCAAGGCGGGCAAGCUUCGUGUGUCGCAGAAGAACUACAUUGAAAAGGUUCUUCAAACGCUUCGGCAUGGAUAAAGCGAAAACUGUGAGUACUCCGUUGGCACCACAUUUCAAACUCUCUGCAGAGUUGUCACCACAAUCUGAUGAAGAAAAGCAGCAAAUGUCUCACAUUCCAUACUCGAGUGCAGUUGGAAGCGUGAUGUAUGCAAUGGUUUGCACUCGUCCAGACAUUUCACAUGCAGUUAGUGUGGUCAGCAGAUACAUGAGUUGUCCUGGCAAGGAACACUGGCAGGCCGUGAAAUGGAUUCUCAGGUACUUGAGAGGUUCUGCAGAUUUAUGCUUGGUAUAUGAUCAGAGUGACUGCACUAGCAGUGUCACGGGCUAUGUGGACUCUGAUUAUGCUGGAGAUCUGGACAAAAGAAGAUCUCUGACGGGUUAUGUUUUCACUUAUUCUGGAGGAGCCAUUAGUUGGAAAGCUGUGUUACAGUCUACCGUAGCCUUAUCUACGACUGAGGCGGAAUAUAUGGCGUUAGCAGAAGCAGUGAAAGAAGCAUUGUGGAUGAAAGGUCUAGUAAGCAGUUUGGGUUUACAACAGGAUUUCACUGUUGUAUUUUGCGAUAGCCAGAGUGCCAUACAUCUGACUAAAAAUCAGAUGUUUCAUGAACGGACCAAACACAUUGAUGUCAGAUAUCAUUUUGUUCGGGAACAUGUUACGCAAGGUGACAUUGUUAUCAGCAAGGUUGCUACCGAGAAGAAUCCUGCAGAUAUGUUAACUAAGGUGAUCCCUGCAUAUAAGUUCAAGCAUUGCUUGGACUUGAUAGGUAUUCGGGAUUGAUUAGCGCCAGAGAGGCGUUUGGAAGAGGUGAUCCAGUUCGAGGAAUUCACUAUGAUGUUCAGCUUGGUAAAUUUCAAGCCAAGGUGGAGAUUUGUUAAGAAAUGGCUUAAAAUUGGUAGUGGAUUGUUGUUGUUGGUAGUGGGUUGUUGGUGGUAGUGGAUUAGUGGAUGGUUGUUGGUGUCCAUUUUCAACCACAAAUCUUUGCCAAAGUUUUGGACAAUUAUGUCCUUGAACUCUCUUAUAAAUAGAGAGGUUCAUUAGCCAUAUUGAUCAUCCCAAACCAAGAGAGAGCAAAGCUUGUUCUUUGAAAGCUAGGAUUUUAGCUUUCGGGUUUUCUAUAGGGGUUGAGAGUUGUGAGGUUCUCGGGUUGUGUCUUGAGUGUAAAACACUUGUAAUCUUCAUCUUGUUAUAGUGAAAUUUCUUUUCGCCUCUGCCCGUGGACGUAGGCAUUAAAGCCGAACCACGUAAAUCCUUGUGUUCACUUUAUUUUCGUUCCGGUCAAUUUACUUGUAGUCAUAUCGGAGUUCUCGAAUCGAUCCUUUCCGCAACAGAACAUAUCAAUGAAAAUGAAUAUAGGCAAGAAACGAAAAAAAGAAUGAACGAAAGGUAGGGGAAAAAGAUUUGAGUCGACCUGUAAUCGGAAUCAUAGUGCUGCCAUCAUGGAAUUCGUUACAGCCUCGCGCUUUAAUUCAGCAGCUUUACCGCUACCUCGGAAAUACAUGUAAACUUGCUGCGGGAUUUGAAAGAGAAAACCGAGUGAAUAAGCGAAGAAGAGGAGUAGUUUUAAAGGAAAAGAUGACGAAAGAAGAGGGGGGUGGGGGGCUACUGAACCUGAAUAACCCACAGACUGAGCAAUGAUUCGACGAAAAAGAAUGCACAGCCGAUAAAGUAGAAUAUCUUCAUGUCAAGCAUUUUACAGAGUUGUGAUGAUUAGUGAAGGAUAAACAUGCAAAGGUCAAAUUCUAGUAUUAGUUAUUAUAUUAUGCAUAAGUUUUGGUUUUAGUCAUUGUAUAUUUGGUGAUUCUUAGUUUCUAUUCUUUUUAAAAUUAGAAUUUUAGUCCAAACUCAAAUUGUAACAAUUAUACCAUUAAUUAAAUUAUGUUAUUUCAAAAAUUUUAUACAACAUUAAUUUUAUUAUAUGCAUAACAUCAUAUCAGCUUCCUAAUUCAGUAAUAUAUUUAAAAAAUUGAAUUUAAUGGUUUGAGUUAUAAUUUAAAUUUCAAAAUUCAAAAAGUGUAGAGAUUAAAAACAAUCAAAUUGAAGAAUUAAGACUAAAUCAAUAACUUACUUAUAGUACAAGACUAAUAUCAGAAUUUGACUUCAUUGGGUUUAAUAGUUACAAUUUGGGUCAAUAAUGAAAUUUGAAAUUUUGAAAAAGUAUAGAAAUUAAAGUUAACGGGUUCAAUUAAUCGAACCUUAGUUAUAUUACAACAACAAAAACGUGGAUUUAAGCACACUUCAACGUGUUUUUCUCUCCAAUAUAAGGGUUUGGAGGGAGCAAUAUAUGGAUAGUAGGCAUUGUAUCAAAAAAUAUUGACUCACUUAAAAGAUACAAACAUUAAAAUUGACCAAACUAAAGUAUAAUGACUAAAUCCAUACUGUAAGCAUAAUAUAGUGAUUAAUAGCAGAAUUUGACAUUGUUUUAGUAUAAUUCUAUAGGAGGAUACAUAGUAAAAUCAGGUUCCCGUGAAGUAAAUUAUAGCAUUGUAAUGGCAAGAAACUUACCCCUACCGCAGCAUCAAUGCCGAAAAGAUCUAUUGCAGGCAAAAUACCUCUGUAUAAAGAAUUACGCCAUAAAGACAUCAGUAAAAUAUUACUACAAACAAUCAAAUACAAGGUAAGAGUACGUUCGAGUCUUGUAUUAAGAUUUAGAUUAUAAUUUAUUCUCUUUAUAAAAAAAAGAAACAAAUUAAUUUUUGUAUAUUAAAUUAAAAUCUUUAAGUUAAAUUUUUUUAUUUAUUUUUACAAUUAAAAAUUGUCAUGAUUGAUAGAGUAAUCAGACAAUUACACCAUGAGUGCCACAAGUAUCUCGUGUCGAUAUGUAAAGAUCAAAUUUUAACAAUAGAAAUGAAUGAAAUUUUUAACAGAAUGAUCAAUUUACUCUUUGAUGUAAUGUAUAAUGAUUGCUUUACUCACUUUUUGAAUAAAAAAAUAAAAAUUCCUAUUACAAAAGCCUCCAUGAUACAUUUAUCAAUACUAAAAUUGUAGUACUUGAAUGAUAAAAUCAAAUAAACUUACGCAAUAGACUUUCCCUUGAAAAGAAAUGGAGGAGCAAUUGUAGCAAAGAUGCAAAAGAAGAUAUGCAACUACAAGGUAGAUAAGAAGAGUUAGAAAUUAAUGAGGAGCUUUCCGAUAUAUCUUUGAUUACUAAAAGAAAAAGAAAAUUACAGUGAGAAAGCAGUAAGCUUACAAUGUAAAAUAUGAAAAACCAUCCGAACUUCAAUGCACUAUCAGUCCUGUAAAGGAACAGGAAUAUAACUAUAUAAGAACAGUUCAAACUCAGCUACGUUGUUGAAGCUGAAUUUCGGUGAUGCAUGGUUGAGAUACUGUGUGGGAACAGGAAAAUAACUAUAUAACAACAGUUAAAAUUCAGCUCACAAUGUUAUUUUAUUCGUUUGAUACAUAAUUAUAGUGUUUUUUUGAGUUAUAAUAUAUUAGAAGUUUAUGUACUCUUCUUAAAUUUGAAAAUUAGUCUAUUAAUUUUUCAUAUUUUAAAAUUGAAGUUUCAUUGUUAACAUUUUAAAAUUUAUUGUUAAAUUUAGAUUCAUUACAAUAAUAUUAUUUUUUUAGUAAAAUAACUACAAGGUGAUUGUUUCUUUUUAAUUUCAAAAUGUCACACCAAUAAAAUUAACAAAAAAAUUUCUAAAAAUAAAAGUAUAAAAAUAAAAUUUCAAAUUUGUAAAGAAUACAUAGAUUUAUGACAUAUUUAAUUUCAAAAUAUUAUAAUAAUAAAUUUAAAAAGAAUUAACAAUUUUAAAUUAAAAAAGUAAAGAGAUUAAAUAUUUAAAAAAUUUUAAGUUUGGAAUCUAUGAACACUAGAGAGAUCUGGCCUUGCUUUAACUUUUAGCGUAAAUAGACAGCUUGAAUGUAAAAUAAAUAUAGAAUAACCAAAAAGUAGUACCUCAUGGCACGAUAAAGAGGGCGAUACCACAAAUAAUAGGCACCAGGAACCCCACAUAACAAAUAAAUGAUGGCAAGAAACCAAAUUGCUGGACCUGGAAUGAAUAUACAUUCCUAAUAUGAGUAAGUACGCCAAAUGAACAGUAAUUUUAAAGUACUAAAAUUAAUAACUUUUGAAAUCCACCUUCACAUUUGAUCCAGGCGGCAGUGACGGCUAUUAUGUUCCAUGCAAGACAUGCAACCAAACCUGUCAACAUACAAAUAAAUUUAGAGACUUAUAAGGUAAAAGUUCCUUUACGGUGUCUCUCAAUUUUUAAAUCAAAUAAAUUAGUAUUUUUUUAAAAAUUGAAGUAAUUUAAUUUUUAUUAAUUUCGAAAGUGAGUAAGUAAGAAUAACUAAUCACGAUGUUAAUAUUUUUUUUAAUUGUACAUAAUUUUAAUUGGUACAAUAAUAAAUUCAACCUUAACAUUUAUACAUUUAUAUGGAUGUUGCACGACAAAUUUAUUAAAUUAUAACUAAAUUGAUAAAAAUGUGUAAACUUUUAGGGCUAAAUUUAUUAUUAUACCAAUCAAAAUUAUGUACAAUUGAUGAAAAAUAUUAAUGUUAUAAUUAAUUAUCCUUAGUUAUUCACUUUCAAAAUUGACAGAAUUAAAUUAAAUUAAUUUUUUUUAAAUGGUCAAUUUGCACAAUUUUGAAAUUGAUAGUAACUGAAGAGGUCUUUUUACCCACUUAUAACUCAAAAGUAGAGCACCAUAACAAUAUAGCUUUCAGACAUUUUCAAGAUAUGAGAGAAAUAAAUAGAGCUGAGAAAGAGAAACUGAACUAAUAGCACAAUCCAAACAGGGACACACUUAAAAAAUAAGUAAAAUGGCCUUGAUCUUAACUCACCUAACAAUGUUGAGAAAGCAACAUACUGCACAUUUUGAAGGUGGAUUGGUAUUUCUUUUGCAAUGUUAUGAUGAAUAAUAGGAUAAAAUGGUGGCCAAUUUUUGUCCUCUAUGAUUAUUCCAGCUGCCAAGGAGAAGACAAAGGAAUAUAUUGCAAAAUCAGAUUGGUAUCUGAAGCUCGUUAAGUCAUCUAUAAUAAACAAAAUAAAAACCUACAUCGUGCGAUUGCAUCUUCCUUUCUUUUCAAUUCCUGCAUAAUAUUAAAGAUAACACUCAGUAUGAGGAAAUUUUAUUUUAGAUGGAAUUGUGAAAUCACUCUACGCACCAAUUUAUCAUCAAAGUUUAAAUGCAUCUAAAAAGAAGCAUUUGAAAUUUUUGACGAUUUAUUAUUGUUAUUAAAAAAGUGUUUUUAAAAAAAAAUAAAAUGUUUAUUUUUUUUACAGACAAUAAAAUAUCUAUUUUAAAUAUGAUAUGUUGAACUUCUUUAAUAAAGAUAUGGAAGUAGUUUCAACCGAAAGCAAGAGCAAAAAAAAUUAACUUUUUGAUUUGGGUCAAAAUUUUUAAUCUAGUUUAAAAUGUAUUUUUUACUACAAUGAUAAAUGAAACUUACAUAGAUUGAUUUCUAAAUUCACAUUUAAGAAUUGCUAUAGAAUUUAUUCAAAAUUAAAAAGGAAAAUAGUUCAGAACCAAAUAUAUUCUACAAGCAUUAGGAAUAAACUAAAGUAUCGAGUAAAAUUUGAUACUGAAAAACAUGAUUUUGAUUUUUAAUGCCAAGGUGCCAGUAAUUUGAUUGUUUUGCAAAUAUAUAAAAUUGAAACUGCAAUAUGAAAGGAGGAACAUAUCAACAUUGACACCGAAAACCUCAAACAAUGAACUGGAAGUACCUUGCUCAAGUACAAACAAGCAACAACAAAUCACCUGUUCUCGCCUUCUCAGUUCAGCCUCUCUUGCUUGAAGUUCCUUCUCCUUGUCUUUUAAACUCUACGAUUGAUGAGACAAAAAUGACAGAAAGGAGUCUAUUACUUAAUGUUUAGAACCAUGCAUCGUAGACAAUUGAAUACCUAGAAAGUUUUAAGAUUACCUUGACAGAAUCACGAGGAAUAUCUAUCGUUGCACCACGGUCAUAUGGUUCAGGAGGAAGUGGUGAAAGCCUUGAUGAAGCAGUACCUUGAUUCUAAUUUAAAUAAUAAAAAAAUAAAAAAAUAAAUGCAAAACAAUCAAGAUAGCUAGCACUUGCAAGAGUCACUAUAUUAUGCAAGCAGAAAAAAAUGAUGAAAUGACUUUUUAAGCCCCCAUAAUUUUGAUAUUGAGCAAAUUGGUCCCUCUAAAAAAUCGGAGCAAUUUAAUCCCCGUCAAUUUUAAAAUUAACCAACUAGGGACAAUUAAUUAUUACAUUAAUGUCUUCUGUCAAUUGUAUGACAUUUUAAUUGGUAUAAUAACCUCAAGUUACUCAUUCUAUUAAUUUGGUCUUGAUUUAACAAAUUAGCCCACACCAUUUGUUUAAAUGUGGAGGCCAAAUUUGUUGGAUUUUUUUUUAAAUCAAGACCAAUUUGAAAAACAUGUAAACAUCAAUGGCUAAAUUUAUUAUUAUAUCAAGCAAAAUGAUGUAAAAUUAACAAGAAAUUAUUAACUUAGUGAUUAAUUAUCCUUAGUUGCUUACUUUCUAAAUUGAUAGAGAUAAAAUUGCUCCGAUUUUUUUAAGAGGGACCAAUUUGCUCAAUAUCAAAAUUGAAAUGGACAGGAAAGAGAAUUUUACCGAAAGAAACUUGUAUGCAAAACUGCAUACAUGGAUAAAAAAAGUAAGCAAGUCACAAUAGACACAGUCAAAUAAUUACAGUGCAAGAAACAUUAGCAGAUAUAAAUAUUUCACAAUGAAAGCAAGGUAUAAGCUAAUGGGAACAAGUACACACUACACAGUAUUCACCAGGGGAAAAACAAAAGAAGAAGCCAUAUACCAUGAUAAUCAUUUAUCUUCUUGUUCUUAUUUUUUAAAUUCAUAUUAACUUGUCAAAGUUUUAAAAGCUAUAUAUCUAAAAAAAAGUGACAAUCGUAAGAAAAAAAAACCAGUCCUAAAUUCAAAUGAUCUUGUCUAUGUUUAAAAAGAUACAUCUCAUAAGAUGACAAUAUUGGUAUCUAAUAUUCAGUUUCUUUCAAUUCAUAGCUUCUCAUUUGUCAAGAAAUGCAAUAAUAAUAAUAAUAAUUCAAAAUCAACAUUGUUACUAAAGCUACAUUAUGGAACGCACGUCACUGGUAUCGGCAAUGAAACAGAUCUAAUAAUUAAGCCGAUCAAUGACCCGAAUCAACGAAAACAUUGCCAAAAAAAAAAAGGAAACAGAAAUUCAAGAAUUCAAAUCCACAUCAAAGGUAUUUUCCGUUUAUGGAAAAAUCAGGUACGGAUACGUAAAAAAAACGUGAGUACAGAACGAACUUACCGAGAAAGGAUUCACCUCAUCCUCAUCGAAAGGGCUAGAAUCGAAACGAUUCAUGGAAUCACGAAGAUGAAAUUACUAACACUGAAAAUGAUGUGAAAAUGAGAGAGGAAUUUAUUGGAUUUGGAUUAUUUUUGGAAAUGGAGACUGUUUGUUUGAAGAGAAAAUAUGGAAGGAAAAAUAUAUAACGAGGGAGAAAUUGGCGGGCCGCGGCUGGGGUUUAAAUAAGAGUUGAUAAUGGGCUUGGUUAGCUUAUUCACGUCAUAUUUAGGCCCAAUUAGUAUUUUAUUAUAAAAAUAUAGUAAAUUAAAUUAUUAUUUUAAAAAAAUAUGGUGGUUUUCAGUAGAGGUGAUCAUAGACUGGGCCGAGCCAGGACCAAGCAAAAAUUUAGGCUCGUUUGCUAGAGUUGGGGGCAACCUAAAAAAUUGGCCUAAAAAUUGUAUAAGCCCAGCUCAAAUAAAAAUGCUAAAACCCGAGCCCAAUCUGGCCCUCCCAUAUUAAUUUUUUUAUAUUAUAUUAUUUUUUACAUAAUUUUUUAAAUAUAUAUAAUACAUAAAAAAUACUAAAAAUAUUAAAAUAAAUAUUUUCGAACAAAUUAAAAAUAAAAUUUUAAAAAUAUGUAUACUUAAAUAAUACUAAGAUAGAUGCAACUUAACAAGAAAAUAUCUCUAAAAUAAUAACAAAAUUAACAAUAAAACAAGUGUUAUACAAUAUUCAAACAAUAACAACAAAAUAGUAGCAAUGUAAUAAUGAAGUGGUAGCAAAAUAGGGAGAAAACAAGAAGAAAAUGUCAUUAAAAUAACAAAAAAAAUAUUUUUUUUGUCAUUUAGUAAAUCUAGACUGGGUCCGGCUCUAGUAAAAAUGUCUUACAUGAGGCGGGCCCAUUUUUCGGGCCUAUAUUUCUGUCGAAAUCCUCCCACUUUUCAGGCGAGCCUUCGGGAUGGGCCAAGUGGCCUAGCCCAUGAGCACAUCUGGUUUUUAGAUAUAUGGUAGAUUUUUUGUCUUCAAAAAGUGAUCCCAUCACGUUAAAUGACGAGCUCAUUAUGCAUGCAGACCUGUUCAUGAAUCGAGUUAUCCACCUAAACUCGAAGGCUCGUUUGAAAUUUAGAGCAAUAGGGGUAAAAAUAUUAGGUCUGAAAAAUAAGUUUGAACAAAAAAUUUUAUGUCCGCUUAAAACAUGGGUUGGGCUUGAACAUUUAAAGCCCAAACCUAACUCGACCCAUUUUCUAUAUUUAUAAUAUGAUAUAUUUUGUUAUUUUUAUAUAUUAUAUACUUUAUAACAAAUAAAAACUAAAUCUAUAGUAAUAUGUAAUAGUAUAAUGUAAAUAUUUUAAAAAUUGUUAAGAUGGCAAUAUAAAAUUUUAAUAAAUGAAAAAAAUAUUAAAUAUUACAUUAAAAUUAAUAUAAUUUUUUUAAAAAUUCAAAUAAAAAUUAUAUGAACGGGUUUAAAAUGAGCUUGGGUUAGCUAUUUACAAAUAUGAGGGAGUUUGGUCAAAAUUUUAGCUCCAUAUUUUGAGUUAGGUUGAGCAUGAGCAAAUAUAAAGUAUAUUAACAUCAUAUUUGAUCCUGGCCCAAAUUCGACUCGGCCCGACAUAUGAACCACUAUAUUAUGAUUUCAAUAAAAUGUAACUUUUGCAAGGAGAAAAUUACAAAUUCUUCUCACAAAAAUUUCAUAUGGCUUGUAAUAUUUGCAUUCCUCGCAAUUUAUUUUUUCAUCAAAGUUUCACACAAUAUCACAUUCCCGGGCUUGACAACGGUCUGUCCAGUCAUCUCACAUUGACUCCAACAGUGUCCCUAAGUUUAUGUUCAACAUCUUAUCAGUUACACUUGUGAAAUAGUGUUUUGUGUUGGAACCCGCCAACAUCCCUCUAUAAAUACCCCAUUUUAUCACCAAAGCUAGACAACAAUAACAAAAGAAGACGUAUGAUAAUUUAUUUCCAUAUAGCCAACACUCAACUUAAAUAUCCUUCUAAUUUAGUGACUCUCCACAUCUCUUACGGUGUGAAUCAUCAUCAAUUUUUAAUAAACGAUAAUCCGAACUUAAACUAAUAUUAAUUAAUAGGCUACAACUUAAGAUUCCAACCUCUACCACCGUAAUAGCUCUCCACAUUUCUACGAUAACGCUGAUAAUCCCAAUCAUCUCCUCUUGAAUUUCCUUUGUUGCCAGUUAUGUCAACUUUCUAUUCAUUAAGAUCCAUUUUAGAUUUUGUAAUAAAGUUUUAAAUUCAAUAAUAUCUGUUUAAAUUCAGGGAAAAAACAUGGAAAAGAAGUCGAAUUUUGAGCACCACUUAUAAUUUUUUUUUUCCCGACAGAGACAAAAUGGUUACUUUUCAUUGAUGUCCAAAUCCUCUCACUAAAUCUACAAAAAAGAAAACAAGUAAACAUAAUUAUGUCACUUUAAUCCCUGUUUUCCACAUGGCUAUUGAAAAGUCAAGAUCAAUAAUGUCGUUUUAUAAUCAAAACUGGGACAAAAAUAUCAUUUUUGCCUUAUUUAUUAUUAUUUAUUUCUUCUUCUUGCCUUUUCUUUCUUUUGGUUAUUUUGUUGGAUAUUAAAAUGAGAAAUCAUUAAUAUUUAAGGGAAUAACAGUUUAAAUUUUAGAAAUAAUAUUAUUAGAAAAAGAUAAAUAUGAAUUUAGAAAGAGUUAGCCUUCAUUUAGAAGCGAUACCAAGAGAGUUAGCGAGUGUCUCAAUUCUCUAAAAUGAAAAUUUUCGUUUUCGUUUUUAACCUUUUAAAUUUUAUAAAAUUUUAAAUUAAUAUAUGGUAAAAUUAUACUUUAACUUUUUAAAAGUAAUAAAUUUAAUUUAUUAAUUUAAAAAUUAUAAAGAGAUAAACUAUUGAAAUGGUAAAAUUAUAUUUUAACUCUCUCUAAAAUAUACAAUUUAAUUUUGGUUCCUCAAAUUUUCUAACUUCACCUCUUUCUUCAUGGAUGGUAAAAUGUAUUAAAUAAGAUGUUCAUCAUACACACACAAAAAGGGAAAAGGAUUACAAAUAAGAAAAAUGAUUGAAUAAAAAUAGUUAUGUGAGGCCAUACUAUAAUAUAUUUGUUCAAAAUUGUAUCCUUUAAUUAUCAAUGAAGUUCUAGUAUAGUUGGCAAAGGUAAAAGUUUUGGGCCUUGAAUGCUUAAGUUCAACGCUUAUCACAUGUAAAUUAUAAAUGACGUAUUCAAGUCUGAUCAUAUGUUGUCAUCAUGUACGAGUUUUAAUCCAGUUAGUCGAUUUUAAUUUGGAUUAUUUUAGUCCUUACUUUGUUUGUACUAUAAUAGUUUGAUUUUUUACUUUGUCGGUUGCUCGAGCAUAUAUUUAUAUCUAUACUUGUAUUUUGAUUGUACUAUACUUGUAAGCUUUAAAAAAAAGAGUACCACGAAAUUAGAUUUGUCUAUAAAUUGGAGUACUUUUUGAACUUGCUAAGCUCAACCCAUAAAAAAUCAAACGUUAGGUAAGAAAUUUUUGAAUUUGGGUCAGAUCAGAAAUUAAAAUAUUCUUUUUAACCCUUUAAAUCUAUCUAAACUUAUAAAAAUAAUAAAAGAUUUUUAAAUUUGGGUUUUUAACUUUAACAUUUAUUUGUUAUAUUUAAUGUAUAAUAAAUAAUUAUUUUUUAAAAGAAAAAACCUAAAUAUAUAACAUGGUCCCAAUGAAAGUGACUUGACAUAAUUAUUUCAUACCCCAUUUCGUCUAGAAUGAUUGAUUAAAGUCUCACGCGAGGAUUCUAGACGGAGGAACUCGAGGAUUCUAGACGGAGGAUAUCUUAAGCCCCUUAAAAUCUACAUAUAUGAGUUUAGAGGAGAUAAAAUUCGAUUCAAUUAAAAAAAUUUAAUAAAAUAUUUAAAAUUUGGAUUAAAUAAUUUAAAUUAUUUGAGUUGAUCGAAUUAUUCGGAUUAACUCAAAUAAAAAAUUAAAAUUUUCAAUUUAACUCAUAUAUGAAUUAUACAAUUUAAAUUAUCUAAAAAUUUAAAUAAGAAAAGGUAAAAUUACGUUGUUUUGAUAAAUGAUUACCUUUUCUAAAGUUAAAAGUCAAAAUCAUUAAAUUAAAAAGUAAAACUACUUCAUUUUGAUAAAUGUUUACCUAUUAAGUUAAAAGGUAAAACCAUUUAUAUAGUUAAAUAAUAUUGUACUUUGUCUACUAGUUAAAUAAUUGAUCUAUGUAAAUGCAACAUUGAGUAUAAAUAAUAUGAUUCGUUAACUUGGCUCGAAAUUUUUUGACUUGAUUCAAUUCGAUUUGAAAAAAAUUCAAAUUGAGUUCGAUUGUAAAAAUAGGAUCCGCCAACUCAACUAACUCGAAAUUUUUUGACUCGGUUCAACUUGACUAGAUUGAAUGCCCAACCCUAUAUAAGUUAUUAGAACCAUUCGGUUAAUUUGAUUUUUCCUAUUAAAUCAAUUAAAGUCUCAAGUAUUAUAUUUUUGUUAGUUAUUAUUCGUUACCAAAAUUUAACCGCAUUGAUCGAUUUAUGUAUAAUAUUGUUAACAUAUUAAUAAUAUAUAAUAAAAUAUACAUAAAAUAAUUAGUUAAUUGAUUUAACGUUAAUAAUUUAUGCUUAUAUUUUAUUUGUGUAUCUUUCUUGUGUCGUAUGGCUAAAAACAAGCGUUUGGUGACGGGGUGGAUGCAAGGCUAGUUCACUCAUGUGGGUGGAGAGUCGUCGAGUUUGGGGAUUAGGUGUUCCUAUUGGAGUGGUAAAGAGACUGAAGGGGGAAAUUGGAAAAGUAUGGACUGCCUUUGCUUCUCACAGGGGUGGGAUGAAUUCAUAUAUCGAUGCAACAUACCAGCCUUUGGUUGGUUCAUUGGUCUUUGUCAUUAGCCUGUCUAAGAACUUACAAAGAUGAGUGAUAUGAUAUUAUAAAGUAUGUGGAUGAUAAAAGAUGAUUGUCCUAUCAAUAUAAAUAAUUCACCUGACAAUAGCGUCUCUAUAUUUCCAAAGAUUUAAGUAAUAGUAUCUCGAUGGAAGUUUAUUGGUAAUGUACUAGUUGUCUCAUGAAUGUAUCACGUGCAUCCGAAGUAUAUUAUUUUGAGGAUCUUUUUAAUAUUUUAUAUCUUUUUUAGAUAAAAAAUAAAAAAAUGCAUACGUAUAAUAUGAAAUGAAUCUAAAACAUUAUAGUUUUCAAUAUCUUCACUUUACCAUUUCAACAAAAGAUUCAUUUAUUUUUAUAUUAAUUUUUAAUAAAUAUAUUUGUUAUAUAAUUCUAUUUUUACUUGCAUCAAAUCUAUCAUAAUUUAGUAAUUAUAUUAUGUCGGGUUUUGUUAUAACAAUAAUACUAAAAAAUUAAUUAAUUACAAAAAUAGAGUGUUUUCUAUAGUGUUUUUCGGUAUUGCCUGAUUAGUUGGCGGCACCAGAUUGAAGUAUAAUGAAGCAAAACGUUCAGGGACUUGAUAUAAAACUUUCCUCUUUUAGAUUGGAUGUUGUAAAGAAAAACUUAAGGGUGAUGCCUAAUAGUAUAGCGAUACCAAAUAUAUUUUGGGGGAUAAUUGUUUCAUAAACCUUUUCUUGUUUAUUAUUUUCUUUUUAAGGUACUUCCGUUUUUUAAAAUAAACCCUACUUAUUAUUUUCCUUUUAAAACCAUGCAGUAAAUGAUGUUUUUAUCUGUAAAUAUUGAACUUGUUUGAGGAUUAAAUUAAUUUAAUAAUUGAGAGGACUAAUUUGAUUUAGCCCUUAUAAUAGAGGGGCCAGAUUCAAACAAUUAUAAUUGAGAGGGUUUAAAAACAAUCAAAUAACUUCAACAUUUAUCGAUAAAAAUAUUAUUUACUACGUGACUUUAAAAUGAAAAUAAUAAGCAAUGAAUGGUUUAUUUUAAAAAAAUGAUAGUACUUUAAAAAGAAAAUAAAAAAUAAGAAAGGGUUUAUAAUGGAAUUAUCCCUUAAUAAGUAUUUGAUGUGUGCAUCCUUAAGUUAUUUUUUUACAACAACAAUCUAGAAGGGAGAAGUUUUAUAUCAGAUCCUUGAACGUUUUAGUUUAUCACAUUUCAGUUUGAUACUAUUAAUAUGUCAAACGACAUUGAAAAACACAAAAGAUAACACUUUAUUUUCGUAAUUAAUCUGUUUCAUUCAAUUUUUGUAAUUAAUUAAUUUUUUAGUAUUAUGUUUAUAAAAACCCUAUUUUGCCCCGUGCAUCAAAGGUGAUGGACCUACAACCUUGAAGAUUGAGCCAAAGACACAAACAGCUGUAGAAACCAUUAUGGUGAACCUGUAAGAUAGAGACUGCACCUUGGGUGCCACCGUUCACUCACCUCAGCCACUUAUCAAUGAACCAUCCUUUGGUAGAUAGGAUAUAAAGACAAACCCCAAUGAUAUGGUUGUUUAAUCAUAAAUACCAUACAAUACAAACAAUAUACGAUAAAUAUAUGUAAAAUAAUUUAAUAUAAUGUACAAAUUAAAUUUUAUAUUUUAUUUAGGGAUAAAACAAGAUUUAAUAUAUAAAUUUUGUAAUUUUUCUUAAUUUGGUCUCUAUAUUUGAAUUUAAUUCAAGUAUGACAGCAUACAACAUCAUCCCUUUUUAAAAUUAUACAAAAUCUAAAUAAUAUUAAAAUAUAUAUAUGUUUAAAAAAUUAAAAAAUUUCAAGUGAUAAUAUAACAUAAUCUCAUAGUCUUAUGUAAUCGUACUUUAACAGAAUCUAAAUUUAAGAGUCAAUUUGUGAAAAACUGCUAAGUUUCGAGACAAAUGUGAACCGAGAAAAUAUUUCUAAUUUAAUCCCUAAACUUUGAUUUCAUUAAAGUGUGUUGAUGUGACAUUUUAAACAAGGGUGAAGUGAUUUAUUUUGAGGGCGAAUUUUAAUUGUAUAUUUUUAAGAGAGUUAAAAUGCAAUUUAAUCAUUUUAAUAGUUUGUAUCUUUAUUACAUUUUAAAGAAGUAAAUAAAAAUUUUAUAAUUUUUUUAGGGUCAAAGUGAAAUUUUAUUAUGUACUGCCGAAAUUGAAUAUUUUUCUUAAUUAUAUAAAAUUUAAAAAAUACAAAAAUAAAAAUUCUAUUUUUAAAAAAAAAUUCUUUUAGGUAAUAGCAUAUCACAAUCUUAUAAUGUCAUGUCAUUAUAUUUUAAAGGAAUCUAAGUUUAAAAAUUAAAUUGAGAAAAGCAGUUAAAUUUCGAGACUGAUGUGAACCAAAAAAAUUGAAGGACCAAAGUGAAAAAAAUACCAAAUUUAAGAACUAAAUAUUAAUUUGUCCCUAUCAUUUAAUAUAUUAAUUUUACAAAUCAAAAUUAUUUUCUUAAGUAUGACAACAAACAACACAAUUAUUAAAAAAAAUAUCAAAUCCAUGAAUAUUGAAAAUUGACAUUGUAUUUUGUCGAUUUUGUUUCCUAAAGUAAUUUUACCUCCAUGAGACUCCAACCUUAUAACGGAUAGACAGGAAUCAUCAAAAGCAAACAACAUUUGAUUUGUUCCAUCAACAAAAAAUUCAUUUUAAAUUCAAAGUUUGGCUCGAAAUUAAAAAAUAUAUAUAUAAAAAUUAAUUUCGGAAAAUAAAAUUCAUUUAAAAAUAAAAAAUUAAAUAGUUAAAAAAUUAUUUUAUAAUUUUUCAUAAUUGGGUGGUAAAAAAAAAAAAGAACAGAACUAUAAUCGAGUGACUAUUAAUAUAGUUUAUCCAAAAGUAAAAGAUAAUAUGAGUAGACUUAAACGAGUUUGCGUUAGUCAUUUACAAAUAUAAUUAGACUUGAACAACAUUUGAGACUCGUAUUCUAGAUCGACUUGGGCUUGGAUAACUAUGCAUGAUAUUGAUGUCAAGCACAAACAUGAUUUGAAUCUAACUCAAUCCAAUCCAUAAACAUAUGUAAUUAAUUAGUGUAUUAUUAUUAAAAAAAAACUUAUUCUAUGAACUCUCAUAGAAAUAAAUAGUUUAAUAUUUGAUAAGGAAAUUUAAAAUUAUAUAUGCAUUUUUUAUUUUUAUUUUUUUAUUGUUUAUAACUAGCUUGAGUUUUAUAAUAAAAAAAUAUUUAUGUUUCAACAAAUUUCAAAUAUUAUUCUGUCACAUACAGUCCUAUCAUGAAACUUUCUUUUCAUUGUAUAAUAUGUGUCGAUAUAAAUAUAUAUAUUCCAUACUAAUUUUAGUAAUGAAUUUGAGACCGUCCAAGUCGAAUUGGGAAAAUAUCAAGAAUAUUUUUUAAAAGUAAUUUUGAUUAUAAAAUAAACAACAUUUUGGUUGGUAAGGAUAGGAUUUUUCGAAUUGAGUCAUUAUAAAUUUAGAUAAAUUUAGGUUACUGUCACUUUUAAUUUUAUUUAUUCAAAUUAUUUCAUAUUUAAGUUAUUUUAAGAUUAAAUCGUUUUGGGUUUUAAUUGUUUUAAGUUCGAGUAAGUUUCGAAUUGAAGUGAAGUUUGAGUUGUUAAUUUUUAAAAGUUUCUAAAUUUAAAUCGAGUUGGAUAUUUUUUGAAAGUUUUAGUAGUGCAAAUAUAACUAGUAUAAUGUAUAAAGGAUGAAGAAUUAAAUCAAUUCGGACAAAACUUACACAUAAUAUAUGCAUAUGAUGAAUGAGAGAUCCAUACGUUAUACUUACAAAUAAUGAGACUUGAAUUUGAAAAUUUAUAAACUCAAAAUCUUCACCUUAACUAACUCGUCGAUGAGUCGUGGAGUCGGAAUUAAGUUAAAAUAUGAGAAAAAAAAUAUUUAAGAUGGGCAUGCAUGGUGCCAAUUUGUCGGAGCGGGUUGACUGUAUAGUAUAUAGUCUAUGGUCUAUGGUCCCCUUCUAAAUUCCUAGGUGUACCCCAAAGAAUCUAAAUUCCUAGGUGUACCCCAAAGAAUCUAAUCUCUCUCCCGAAAAUGACAACACCCCCAUCAAUUGCGGUCGAGAACCCAUCGAACACUUCAACCAUGGUGCUUCAAUAAAAAUAAAGUUAAACUAUGUAUUAUCACUAAAUUAUAAAUUAUCAAUAUGUUUAUAUUUUAAUUAUUUAAUUUCAAAAAUUAUAAAAAUGACUUUCGUUUAAGUUAUUGAGCUGUUAAAAUCAUUGUUAUAUGACUUCUUCUUAUUUGUACUGUUUGCAUCAAUCAAAAGUUUUUAUUCCUCUUGUACAAAUUAUUUUUUUCAUUAAAUAAUUUUGAAUGAAAUCUGCAAACCAAAUCUAUAAUAUUGAUCUUCAGAUCAGUUUUGAUCUAAGAUAUAUCUUCUACUCACUAAUAAAUACAGAUUCAUAAUACCGAUUGUUGAAUCAUCACUUGUACCUCACUAAUUGAACUUAAAACAAAACAAAAAACAAAAAAAAAACUUAACAACUCAAUAACAUAAAUAAAAACCUUUUAAUAGUUUAUUGACUUAAAUGAAAACUUUUAAAUAAUUCAGUGAUCAUUUUAUAACUUUUUAAAAUUAAGUGACUAAAACAUAAAGUUACUAAUAAUUUAGUGACAUUGGGUGUAAUUUACCUAAUAAUAUGAUAACCACCAUGCCAAAGAUUUUUUUUUAUAAAGAUUUUUUUUUUAUUUCUUCAAGUUGCCAUAGCACCCAACAUUUUCAUUUUACUUGCUACCUUUCUUUUCGUUUUGUUUCGUUUCUUUUCUGUCCCUUUAUGGAAGCUGAAGCUAGCAAUGGCAAUGGCAAUGGCAAUGGCAAUGGUUGCUCCAAUGAUCACGACAUUAUCCGCUGGUUCGACACCAUAUCGACCAACGUCGCCAUGGUUCAAAGAGAAACCCUUCGCCAGAUCCUCGAGUUGAACCGCGGCGUCGAGUACUUAAAGAAAUGGUUCGGGGACAAGGAUUUGGAUAUUCGAGAGAUGGAUGCAUGUGAAAUGGAAUCGCUUUACACUUCUUUGGUACCUUUAGUUUCCCAUGAAGAUUUAGAGCCUUUUAUUCAACGAAUUGCAGAUGGGGACACUUCUCCUAUUCUUACCCAACAUCCUAUUACCACACUGUCUCUAAGGUAAGGACAUUGUUCAGCUUUGGGACAAAACAUGGCUUACAUUCAUGACCCUUGUCUUAAAGUGUAUUGUAAAGGUACCUCUAUCUCUUUUUUGUAAAGGUACCUCUAUCUCUUUUUUUUAUGUCCAUGUUAUAUCUUAAGAUAAUCUUGAAACAAAUUCAGUUUCUUAAAACAUCGUAUUAGUUUUGUGUUCAAAAGAAUGGUAGAGAUUUCAUGGCAUCUUCCUUUUAGUGAAAUUAUAUAAAUUUGUGGUUCUUGUGCUUAUGUUUUCAUUUAGUCAAGUUUGGUCUGUUUCAGGUUUAUAUCGUUUUUGGUUUGUAUAGUUUCAUCUUUGUGUUCUAGUCACUUCAUAUUCAAGUAAUUUUGAGCUUAAAUUGGUUAUUGUUCGAAUAAGUUUUGCGUAUGAUUACAUUUAAGUUUAAAUUGAACUGGUUUAAAUUGUUAAUUUUUUAUGAUUAAAUCAAAUUGAAGCAAGUUUAGAUUCGAAUUAAUCUAUAUGAGUUUUGGGAUUUUUUUAGUCUUCUCUAAAAGUAUUAAUCAAAGUUGCCUUACUAUAAUGAUGCUAAGAGAGUUUGGUACAAAGACUUUAUUUCACUUAUCAUAAAUGUACUUUCUGUCCUAUGGAACCUUCUUUUAUUACCCAAAAAAUGAGUAUAUUUCAAAAUUUACUCCUCCAUAUUUUGCAGAUGAUUUUUUCGUAUUAAAUUUAAAUAAAAUAUAAUUACUAUUUUCGUCGUUUAAUUUAAAUAAAUUUACUUACGUUUCUCGUUUGCAGCUCCGGUACCACCGAAGGUCGACAAAAGUUCAUACCAUUUACCCGUCAUAGCUCGAAGACAACUUUGCAGAUCUUCCGAUUAGCAGCAGCAUAUAGAUCAAGGUCCUCCCUUUACCUCUUUCAUUUAAAUCACUACUUGGGGACAAAUCGAUAUUAUUAUAAUAAUUCAUUAGUCGAUAACAUUCGUUAUGUGUUUUAUAGGGUGUACCCAACACGAAGCAAAGGAAGGAUCUUAGAGUUCAUAUACAGUAGCAAAAGGUUCAAAACAAGAGGAGGACUAAUGGCUGGAACGGCAACGACACACUAUUUUGCCAGUGAAGAAUUCAGAAUCAAACAAGAGAAAACAAAGCUGUUCACUUGUAGUCCCCACGAGGUGAUCUCGAAUGGGGACUACAAACAAACAACGUAUUGUCACCUCUUACUCGGCCUCUUCUUUCACAAAGAGGUUGAGUGCAUUACCUCGACUUUCGCUUACAGUAUCGUCCAAGCCUUCUCCUCGUUCGAAGAACAGUGGGAAGAUAUAUGCAAAGACAUCAAAGAAGGCAAUGUUAGCUCGAAAAUAACGUGGCCGAAGAUGCGGAAAGCCGUGUUGGACAUAAUCGAACCGAACCCAAUUUUAGCCUCGAGGAUUGAAGCUAUUUGCGAGGGUUUACAAGGCUCGGAUUGGUUCGGUUUGGUACCUAAACUUUGGCCCAAUGCUAAAUACGUUUACUCUAUAAUGACCGGAUCCAUGCAACAUUACUCGAAGAAACUAAGGCAUUAUUGUGGUUCGUUGCCAUUGGUGAGUGCCGAAUACGGGUCGACGGAGAGUUGGAUCGGGGUGAAUUUGGAUCCAUCUUUGGAACCCGAAAAGGUCACUUUUGCUGUAAUGCCCACAUUUUCGUAUUUCGAGUUUAUUCCUCUUUACAGACAAGAUCAAUAUUCGGGUUCUGGUAGUGUUGAUUUCAUUGAAGAUGACCCGGUUCCACUUUCCCAAGUCAAGGUUGGACAAGAAUACGAGAUUGUUCUCCCUACUUUUACUGGUAAGUUCCUUUUUUUUUUUUCUUUUUCAGAAUAUUUUUUAAGGGUUAAUAUAUAUUUUGCCCCCUCAACUUACUCAAAAGCAUUCAGUUGAUACUUAGGGCUGAAGCUAGAAACCUUUUUAGAAGGAUCGGAAUUAAAAUAUAUAUCUUUAUGAAAGCUAAAAAGUAAUUUCACCAUUGAAUUGACUUAUAUUUUAUUGUUUUUAAAAAGGCUAAAUUGAAAUUUUAACAUUUUAAAAAAAUAAACUAUAAUUUUAUCGUAUAUUGAUUUAAGAUUUUAUAAAUUUUAGAACUUAAAAAGAGAAUUUCUCAUUUUAAAAGGGUCAAGCCUUUGCUUGCCUUCCUCCCUUUGUCUCUAUCGGUACCCUAAUUAGUAUCUGAACUAGUUUUCUGUUACAAGUUUGGCAUUACUUAGCAUGCCAUGUGUAAAAUAUAUAAAUUAAUAAAAAGAUAUAAUUUUUAUUUGGACAUCAAUUUGUCUAGACUAAUUUUAGAUGUGUUUUUUAGUAAUUCCAUAAAUUUUUAAUUAUUUUUGUAAGAUUGAGAAAUGAAAACCGAAUUUUUUUUCAACAUUUUAAACAAAAAUGGGCAUUUUCUUAAAUGUUAGUUCAAUUUCUUCAAUUUUUUAUGAUUUUUUUCUUAAUUAUUAUGUAUGAUUUUAAAAUUUUCAAAAUAGUUAGAUAAUCUUAUUUAAUAAAUUGAAACCGUUAAAUCGAAAAUUGAAAGUCAUGCUUCGAUAUAAACAUUAAAUUUCAACCAAUGACCCCCAUAUGUAUGUUGGGUAUAUCCAUGAUUCUCAUUUUAUCUCGUCAUAUUUCAUAUUAUUGAUUAUUUUAAUUUUUAAUGUCUAUUUGUUUACAAUUAAGUUUCUUUUAAGAAAAAAAUUUAUCCACUCCAUUUUGCCUUAAUUUAAAAAAUAUUUUUUUUUGUCGAUUGAGUCUUAGUUCAAUGAAUAUAAGCAUUGUUGUUAAUACAGGAAAUGUGUGUUUAAGUAUGUUGAAGCGCAUUGUCCUCUUAUUCAUGAGUUAGAGAGAAACUAUAAAUAGUUCUAUGCAUUAUUUUAAAAAAAAAAAGUAGAUAUAAUCAGAACAUAUAAUAAAUUUGUUUAAAUAUAUAUUUUUUCAUUUGGAGUGAAAUAAUUGAAAAUUUUAUAUGACGAUUUGAGUUUUUAUUAUUUCAUAUAAACUCAUUUUUUUUGACGAACCAUAAUCGUGUUUACUAUGUAUUAAUAAUUGGCAGGGCUUUACAGAUAUAGACUCGGAGACGUGGUAGAAGUGAGCGGAUUUCACAACGAAACCCCAAAACUGAAAUUCAUAUGUAGGAGAAAGCUAUUACUAGUCGUUAACAUUGACAAAAACACCGAGAAAGACCUUCAAUUAGUGGUCGAAAAAGGUUCUCAAUUGCUGAGCAAACACCGAGCCGAGCUAGUCGAUUUCACGAGCCAUGCUAAACUAACGCAUCAACCGGGCCACUACGUGAUCUAUUGGGAGAUCAAAGGCAAAGUUGAGGAACGGGUCCUCUGCGAGUGUUGCCGGGAAAUGGAUGCCUCAUUUGUCGACCCCGGCUACGUCGUGUCAAGACGGACCAACUCGAUCGGACCAUUGGAGCUUUGUAUCGUCGAAAGAGGUACUUUUAAGAAGAUUUUGGAUUAUUUCAUAGGGAAUGGGGCAGCACUCAGCCAAUUUAAGACACCAAGGUGCACUAAUGACCGGACAUUACUUAAAAUCCUUGAUCUUUACACUGUUAAGAGGUUUAGAAGCACAGCUUAUGGUUAAAACCGUUAAGUAGAAUAUAACAACAACAAACAAGUUUUAUGUUUAUUUUAUUGCAAUCUUAGAAUCCAAUGUCCAUUUAUGCUAACGCAGGAAUUUGUAUUGAUGGGGGACUUUUGAAAAGAUAAUUUAAUAUAUUCACUCUCAACUAAUAAAGUGAUAUCCAAUUAAUCUAAAUUUGAAUCUUUUAUCAUAUGAAAAUUUUCUUUUUCUUUUUGAGUUAUGAUUGUUUGAUCAUAAAUUGUUUGUAAAAAUUACUAUGAUAGUUAUUGGUGUGCUCAAUAAAGAAAGAUAUUAGUUUGGUAAAAGCAUGAGUUCAAACCAGGGUGUAACUGAACUGAACCGAGUUUGAAUAUUGUUAAGCUUAAGCUCAAGCUCGAUUUGAAAUUCAGAAUAACAUCAAUUUUUUAGCUCGAGCUUGACUUGAUAAUUAAGUUUAAGAUUGAUAAUAUAUAUUAAGGGUAAUAAUGUAACUUAAUAAUAUAAGAUAUUUAAAAUAUAUAUUAAAAAGUCAAAAAAAGGUUGAUAAGACUAGUGGUGUUCGAUCUGGUAUAUAAGCUCGAUUCAGCACUCAUCUUGGUCUUAUUUUUUUAUAUAAGUUUAACUACUCAUAACCCCUCCCAGCUUUAAAUGAUAAAGUGCCUUUAAGGCAUCGACCAUACCUCUACUGUCAAUUUGAUGCCAACUAAUAAUGUUUGAAAAAACUCAUAACCCCUCCCAACUUCAAAAUAAAAUAUUAAUUUAUGCAAUCUCAUAAUUACCAUAUCAAUAUUAUUAAUCAAAAUCAAUAAUUAUUAAGUAAACAAAAUUAAAGUUGAAUCAAGACUUCAACUUUUGUGAGCAUAGUGGAUGGACGAAAAUGGAAAAAGUAUCCUUGUGGUUAAGACUAGGAACACUUGCAUGAAAUUAAAGACUCAAAAUCUAUUUGCCACCUUGGACAUUGGUAAAAUCUAUAUGAGAUAUCAUUGAACCAUUGAAACUCAUUUUUAGAUAAGGUGAUAAGCCCACGUGGCACUAACCCACUUCUCCUUUACAUGCACCAAAUACUCAAAUUUCCCUUUCUCCCCCAAAAACCAUGGCUUCCCCAUCGCUACUAACCCCUACCCCCAAGCUCCAACCCCUCCUCCCCACCUCCGCCGCCCCACCACCCUCUCCUCUGCCGCACCAAAACCAACACCAUCCUUCACGUCGCCACUUCUUGUCUCUUUCCGCCGUCACCACCGCAACACUAUCUCUUUCAUCGCUUCUACCAGUGACACCACCACAGGCAUUCGCAGCCGAGGACGAGGAGUACGUAAAAGAGACCUCCGAUGUCAUCAACAAAGUGAGGAACACCAUCAGCAUGGACAAAAACGACCCUAACGUCGCCACCGCGGUGGCGGAGCUUAGAGACACGUCGAACAGUUGGGUGGCUAAGUACAGGAGGGAGAAAGCUUUGUUGGGUCGAGCUUCGUUUCGUGAGAUUUAUUCGGCAUUGAAUGCUGUCUCGGGACAUUAUAUUAGCUUUGGGCCGACGGCGCCAAUUCCGGCUAAGAGAAAGGCGAGGAUUCUUGAAGAGAUGGAUACCGCCGAGAAAGCUUUGUUGCGAGGAAGAUGAUGAAAUGGAUCAACACACAUGUUGCUUUGCUGCUUAAAACUUUCGAGAUUUUAACGGCUUAAAAUAGUUAUUGAAUUUUAUUGAGUUUGAGAUUGCAAAUUUGCAAAUUGGUGAUUCAGUUUGUAAAUUAUGAACAAAAAUGAUGAUAUUAUUGUAAUUCAAUCCUGAAAAAUAAAAAUUGUCAUCACACUUAGCUCAAUGAAUAUGAGAGGUGCCUCUACUAUAGGGAUAUGAUCAAAUUAGUCCUUUUAAUAUUAAAUGAAUCAAUUUAGUUCAUGUAUUAUUUAAAAAAAUCAAAUUAAGCCACAUUAUAAUAGAGCUAAUAUUUAAUAUUUAAAAGAUAUCAUUUAUUGUUUAAAUGAAAUAUUUUGUUUAAAAUUAAAUGCAUUUUAAAAAAUAAAUUUUGAAACAUUUUUUAUAUAGUAAAUCUUAACUCUAUUACAAUUUGGACUUAUUUAAUUUGUUUUAAUAGUAUAUUGUCUAUAUUAAUCCAUUUAAUAAUAAAGGGACUAAUCUGAUCCAAACCCAAUAAUGUAGGGAGCUCUCACGUACUUUAACCAUCACAAUUAUAUUUGAGUAUUUAGUUGACAUCAAUUUUGAUUAGUGGUGCAUCCAAUCUAGAAUUCUUCAUGGAUUGGGGAGGUUAAAUUCGAGUUAGACUUAAGUAUAAUAUUAACAUGCUCUAAGUUUGUGCAAGCUUCGCUUGGAUUGAAAUAUGACCUUAAAAUUUUACAUAAACUCAUCUAUAUUUUAAAUUGCCAACUCAAGUCUAUUUUGGAACCGCCCACAUUAUUUUUCAAUUUAAAAUAUAUAUUUAUAUUAUUUUUAAUUUAAUGUUUAAUAUUUUUUAUUUUGUCAUUUAUUGAAUUUUUACAUAUAAUCAUCUGAACAUGUUUUUAGUGUUUACAUUAUAAUAUUAUAUAUUAUUAUAAAUUUAAUUUUUAUGUGUUAUAUAUUAUAUAAUAAAAUAAAUAUCAAAAUCAUACAUGAGUUUUGAUCUAAAGUGUAUUAUCAUUUACAAGUUUUGGUUUUGUGCGAUUUUAUAUCUAAAAUUUUGAUUUGAUUUUAUAUAUACUUUGUCAAUUUAAGCCUUAUCCUUUUUUUUAGCUAAAUCUAAGAGUUAACUUUUCAAAAAAAAAAUCAAAUAACUAUUUUAAUGAAAAUGUUGACUAAAACAAUAAUUUUUUUAACGAUGUUGGUAUGGAAAAUCGCGCAGUGGUCCGCGUGUACUUUAUGUUGACAAGAUAUCAUUUGUAUUAUAUAUCACAAUAAUAAAUAAUUUAAAUUUUAUGAAAAUAAAAAAUUCAAAAUUUAAAAAUAUUAAGAAGAAAUACACGUGAAUUUUCACGUUGGUUGUCAUUUAAAAAAAAUUAAUGUUUUAGUCAAUAUUUUUGUUAAAAGCCAACAAUUCAACUCUUUUUUUAUAGAUUGAUGGUCAAAUUUAACUAUCUUUAAAAAUGUUAAGAGUCAAAUUUAACUCCAAAAAAAAAAGAGUGAGAUAAAAGAUGUAAAAGUUAAAAGCUAAAUUUAUCUUUAUGCCUAUAAUAUAUUACAAAUAUGGAUGAAAAAAUUAUUGUCUAAUUUAAGUGCUAAAAAAUUUAUUUUAGCUUUUCAUUUUUUUUUUGCUUUUUUUAACUUUUAAACUUGCAUUUUCUGUGAAAUCACCUCAAAAUGGAUGAAAAAUUAAUGAUUUAUAACUUUGCUAAUGUGGCAUACACAUGGAUAACGUGUUAGCAUUUAAUUAAUUUUUUUAAAAAUUUAAUUAGAUGAUAACAUGCCACCCACAUAGCAAUCUAUAUGUAUGCCACGUCAUCGAAGUUAACAAAUGAUAAUUUUUUCAUCCAUAUCGAGGUGAUUUGACUAAAAAAAUACAAAUUUAAGAACUAAAAGAAACGAAAAAUUAAAUAAAAAACUAAAAUAAUUUUUUUUCUUUAAGUUGGAGGGCAAAAAAUAAUAUCAUUAUGCUAAUAAAAUAAAUCCAAAAAAAUCGACUAAACUUACUUACUUAUUUUAGCUAAUUUUCGUCGAUUUGCUUUGAAUUAAUAACAAAAACCCAUUUUGGUUUUAGUGUUAUUUCUUGAUUUGAAUAGAUCGAACCCAAACAUGGAUGGGCAGUUUGGCCCAUUUCUUUCGUUUUUGAAGGGUCUAAUUCUUGUUUUAGUCCUUUUAGGUUUAGCUAAUCUAUUUUAGUUUGACACAAUUUUAUUUUAUUAGUAUGUUCAAAUUAAUAGUACUAUUAAUUAUUGCGGGUAAAGUGAUGUAGAUUUUUAUGAAUCUAUUAGCAUUUAUUUACAUUGUUUUCAAUUUAGACUUACUAAAAAUAUAAAAUUAAUAAUGCUAAAUUAUUUGAAUUAAAAAUAUUAUAAUUCAUAUUAAGUCCCAAAAAUUUUGAAAAUUUUAAUGAAAUCUCUUUAAAAAAUUUAAAAUUAACAAUACUUUUAAAACUUAAUAUCAGAAUCCAUCAUUAAUAUUUACUUAUAAUUCUGAAAAUAAAAAUAAAAAAAAUUGAGUUAAAGAAGAUGUUAGCGCUUGAAACAUUUAUGGGAUAAAUGAGAUGUUUGGUUUAAACAUCAUCUUAGACUUCUUUUGUUAUUAUACAUUUCCGUUUUAUUAUUUAUGUUUGGGGUUCGUGGCUAACCCUCCGAAUAAUGUUAUUUUCAAGACUUGAACUUAUGUUCUCCUCUUUGGAGUGUAAUGUGGCACCCAAUCACUUAUUGGUUCUCCAACUUUUACUUAAUUAUAACGACACAAAUACUAUUUCUUUAGAUUUUAAUCAUUCAAGUUCGACCUUAAUCUUACCUAAAUUACAAUUCAAUUAGUUUCAAAUUGAUUAUGAUUUAAAUCUUGUUAUAUUUUAGAUAUUAUUUCAAUUACGAACGAAGGAAAAAAAGUAGUUAGUGGGCUUGGCUCUCCAAAAAAAAAAGUAGAUUUAAUAUUUUUUCCAUUAGAUUUUUAUGAAAUUACAUAUUAGACUUUUAUGUAAAAAUAAAUUUUUUUUAUAGAUUUUACAAGUACAAAUUAUCAUACAAUCACAAACAUACAAUAGCAAAUGCAAGUUCAAGAGUUUACGAAGUAGAAUUAAAUUAGUAUGAAGCAUAAAUGGACGAAAAAUUGUUCAAAACCUAUACAUGAUGGGACUAGAGACUUAUUUUAACACUUUUUUCCAUUUUCAAAUGAUCGGUAGGGAUGGGAAAUGCCACUGAAGUAAGUACCAGUAAGAAAUCUUAAUUUUAAUUAAGGAUUUAGGGUUUAAAUCAUUUUUUAAAAUAAUUAAGAUAUGAUUUAGACAAUUUGAAAUUUUUAGAAUCAAUUUAAAAACAUUUAGAAUUGAUAUGAAGUUGAAUAGGUGUUUAGGACUCAAAACGAGUCCCAAAAAGUCAAAAUGACUUGAAUUAGUGCAGAGUCAUACAGUGGCGCGACAUGCGAUGUGGCUUACUAACUAGCAAAGUCACAAUGUGGGAUAUGCAAUGUCACGACGUCAAGUGACGAGGUCACGACGUUGUGAUUUUGCGAUUGCGACUUGACUUAUUGAGUAUGCCCAAAACACUUCAAAAUGUUUUCGUAAGUUCCUUUAUUCAUGAUACAUAUAACACAUGCUUAAAAGUCACUUAAAUAUGUACAAAAGUCAUUAUAAAACACUUUAAAUUUGUAAUUUACAAUCUCCAAAGGUAAGUAACCAUGCAUAUCAUCGAUUUACCAAAAGAAGAAUAAGAUGAUAAAAUAACAAGUGAAGCUUUCAAGCUCAAAUUUAAACAACAUUCAAUUUAAGGACCAAGUAAUAUGAAAUUAACAUAUUUACUAAGUAGACACACUAGUAUAUGACACAACUAAAAAUAUGUCUCUUUCAUACUCUUGCUGGUCUUGAUGAUAGUGUAAUGUCUUGAAUUGAGCUAGGCUUCAAGAGUUUCCAAAUCAACAAUCUACACACAAAAACAACGGUGCGUAAGCAAUUAAUGCUUAGUAAAUUUAAAUGGAAUUCACUAUACUUAUUUUGUUGGAGAUGAACAUACCAAAUGCCAUAAGAAAUAUAAACAAUGCUAACAAUAAUCAGAACCAACACAUAAGGCAAAUUAAGCAUGAAAGCUUAUAAACAUGUCAACAAUGUCAACUUUCGUUAUACAUAUAAGGUAGUAGGCAUAAAUAAUCAUUAAUCUGUUACUCAAGUUCACAUCUCAAACAUUUCCUAUUCAUUCGCAUCAUUUAAAUACAUAUAUGUAUAAAACUUUUUGCCCAAUGUAACAUUAGUAAGAUGGACUUGGCUACACGGAAAUCCACCACCACAAGAAUGCUUGUGAGAGCAUAGAAUUACACCACACUAUGACAUAAAAGUGCAAAGCCCAAAGGCAUCAUGUACAUCACUACACCACACCAAGAUAUUCUUCGAAAAGAUGGUGUACUUCCGAUGAUUCGCAACAAAUGCUAAACCAUCGAAGGACAUGAUAUAGCUCCAACUCUAUAAUAACACGUACAUAAAUGUGCAUAUGACCUUAAUUGGCAUGCCAACUAUAUUCUAAGUUUUCUAUCAAGUUUACAUGGGCACAAGAACCAAGUGAGCAUUUACAAUGAAGUCCUAUUGUGCAUAACUAUAACCUUCAUAGAUACUCGUGGUUUCCAUUUUACAAAGCUCAUUUGCUUGCCCUAUUCUUGAACACAUAGCAUCAUGAAUCUAACAUACAUUCAAAAUAUGAAGCCAAUCAUACCAUUGUACACAUAUAAUAUCCCAUUUCAACUUACUCAUUAUAACAACCAAUUAAUAUUUCUUUUUAAACAUACAACUAUGUCUUCAUGCUACCUUGCCUAUCAUGUCAACUAUAUCGAUGUAUACUAUAUUUCUACAUUCAAAUAACAGGUUUAAUAAAUUAAAUAACUAGCACACAACAACAACAUGAAAACAUGUAAGUUCCAUGAUAACUUACUUUUCCCAAAAGCAACAAAAAUGGAUGGAGGCUUAUCCAAAGCCUUCAAUCUAUCACCUUUUCCUUUCCCUUGCCAAAAACCACAUCUGGAAACCUCUUUCUCUUCAAAUACAUGCAAUCAGUUUUCUCCAAAUGUCAAAAUAUUAAAGUAACGCCUAAUAGCCAUAUUAAUAGCUCAACUAACAUAAUAAUGCUCAUAAAAGUGAAAUGGAGUGCCAAAAUUAUGAGAAACCAUGAAAACUUACAUUAGUUUUCACUUUCUCACUCUAACUCAAAUUUCCUCUCAUGAGGGCUCAAAUCUUAAGUAUAAGUUGUGAUAGCCCGAAAUAGGGCCUAAUCGGAAUAGUGGUUUCGUAACCACAAAUCCGAAGUGAAAUAGUUUAAUUUUAUAAAUUUUUAUUAGUUACUGAUUGAUUGAAAUGUUGUGUGAAAAUAUGGAUAGGAAAUUUUAAUGCUUUAGUGCUUAAUUGAAUUUUUAGGACUAAAUUGAGAAAAAUGCAAAGUGUGUCUAAUUAGUGAUUAAAUGACUUAAUUGAAUUAUUGCAUGAAAUUGGAAGUGUUUAUGUGGCAAUUAGACCAUAAAUUAGUGUUAUGGACACAAAAGGGUAUUUCUAGAAAAAUAUCUAAGUAAUGGGUCAAGGGCAUUUUUGUCCAAAUUGGGUAAAAGACAAAAUAAAAAGAAAAUAAGUGUCCAUCUUCUUCAAAAAAAUCAGAAGCUUGCUGCCGAAAGUUUCAGGUUACCAUAGUUAAGGGUUUUGAUUUUCCUAAGCUCAAUUGUAAGUGAUUUCUUGCCCCGUUUUUAAUUAUUUUCGUAUUUUUAUGCUUAUUGAAGCUUGAAUUUCAUGUUUCUACUAUUUAAUUUAAAUGAAAUUAAAGUUUAAAAAUUGACCCAUUCAUGAUAUAAUUGUAAAUUGAUUAGUGAUGUUAGAUAAUGAAUGUCUGAAGUGUUAAUUACAAGUUUUACUAGAUGAAUUUCAAUGAAAAAUGUUGAAAAAGGGCUAAAUUGUGAAAGAUGGUAAACUGUGCAUAAAGUUGUGAUUUUGUGAAAUUGAGGCCGUUAUGAGCAUGAAAUAUGAUUUAGUGAAGUUUGAAAUUUAAGAAUUUAGAGAAUUUUAUUUUUACGAGCUUAGGGACAAAAGUGGAAUUUUUGAAAAGUUAUGGGAAAAAUGUAAAUGUGUCAAAAUGUUGUGUAUGAAUUGUAUUUGAAUGGAAUAUUGAUAAAAUGUAUUAAAUUGUGUUAAUAUAGAUCAAGAAAGAAGAAAUAGUGCAAGUGAUCGGGGAAAAGAGAAAGUUAUCGACUAAAUUACAAAAAUAGUCGUUUUGCAUCCGAGGUAAGUUAUAUGUAAAUAAUAGUUAUAUUUGUAUAAAUUGUGAAUUAUAUUUGAUAUGUGAAUUAAUAUUGAAUGUGGAAGGAAAGUUGUUCAUGAAUUAUUCAAGUGAUAAAGUGUUGAAAAUAAAGUGUUAAGUGUAAAUUCUCGGUUGAACUUAGGAAUAGAAUUGGAUACAAGUGACAUGUCACUAGAGACCAGUGUUACAGUGUUACAGUGAGUCCCGGGUGCUGGGUGAUCUAGCAUGUGUUGCAGACACCUGACAGCUUGUGUGAGCAGACCCAUGGACAUUUCCAGUGUUAUUGAUCAGUGGUAGCUUCGGCUACAUUUCAGUGGUAGCUUUGGCUACAUCCAGUGGUAGCUUCGGCUACAUAUCAGUGUGGCACUUAUGUGCUAAAUCUCUACGUAUCCGUGUAUAUUCCAAGUGUUCAACGGGAUUAAUAAUGAAUUAAAGUGAAUAUGAAAUGUUAAGUGUGAAAAUGUAUAUGCAAGUGAAUUGGUAAGAUUGUGUAUGUGUAAGUGAUUGAAAUUGCUAAGAAAUGUUUUGAUUAGUUAUAUGUUAAAAGUGUUAAUUAUUAAUUGAGUAAUUAUUGUUUACAUGUAACUUACUAAGCUAUUUAUAGCUUACACAUCUCUUUCUUUCCUUUGUUUUAUAGUGAUUUGAACUUGAUCGAAUAGUGGACCGUCGGAGCUCGUAUCACACUAUCAUAACCAUCUCGGUAUUAUGUGCUUUUCAAAAUGUUUAAACUAUGGCAUGUAUAGAGUCUUAAUCAUUUUGAGCAUGUCCAAAUGAUAUGGCUAAUGUUAGCUAUUGAAGUAGUUAUUAAAGAAUAUGUUUUGGAGUUAUGUAUGUUUAAAUGGUAACUAAUUCAAAGAAGCAGUUUCUUUGACAGCAGCAGUGACGUGAAUGUGAAAAAUCACCAUAAAUAGUAGAAAUGGAAUUAGAGGGUGAAUGAUAAAUAGAAUUAAAGCUUAUCAAGUCUAUUUUUACAUGAAAGAAAAGGUGUAGGCAAAGGAAUUUUAUAUUUUGAGAUAUUUAAAUUUUAGUGAGACAGGGUCAGAAUGGUUUUUGAAGUCCCCUGUUCUAACUUUAGAAAAUCAUUAUAAAUUGUACAGAAAUAAUUAUAGGUCAUAAUUUAUAUGUUUAGAUUCCUUAGUGAGUCUAUUUUCAAAAUAAAUUAAUGGUAACCUUAUAUGAAUUCUGUACAAUUAGAUAUUUGAUUUUUAGCACCAAGAGGUCAGAUCUGUCGAGCUGUGAAACAGGGGAUACUUUAAUGAAUAAACUGUACUAAUGUGCUAAGUCAAAAAUUCUGAAAAUUUUAUGGUAAGUAGGAAUAUGAGUCUAGUUUCACGGAAAAUUUACGGAUUUAAAUUUUGAGUUUCGUAACUCAAUUUAUAAUUAAAUUAGUGACAGUUGCGCAGGUGGACAGUGUUGUUAUGAACAGUGAAUUUAAUUUUAAAAGCAAAUUUUUAUGCUCCGAAUCGGUAAGUUAAAUUGGAUGACAUCUCGUACUCGAUUCCGGAGACGGUCUCGGGUAAGGGGUGUUACAUAAGUUGUUAAAACUAACGUCGAUAAUUGCAAUAUAGAACGAUCGCAAAGUAAAAAAGAGGAGGAGAAAUUCACUAAUGUUGAAAACUGAAUAAUACAAGAGGAGUAUCGACUACAUCUAUUUAAAGGUUGAAAAAUCUUAUUCUAAUUAAUGUCAAAUAGAAAGAGUAUAGCUUUAUACGGUUUCUACUUGUGCAGCAUGAUUCGAGUCACACAACUCUAACAUAAGUGCUUACAAAUGAUUAUUUUUUGAAGGUUCGAAAAAAUAUCAAAUUUUUUAAAAGGUAGAAAAUGAUGAACAAGCUUUUUUUUCUCUUUCCCUACAAUGGCCAGUCAAGGUGCUGCCGUUUUGGGGUUCUUUUUCUCCCUUUUUAUUGAUUUAUAAUAUAUAAAAUACAGGUAUUGGUCAAAUAGUCCAAGGCUAACAAAGAGGUGUGGUAUAAAUACAAUGUAAGGCCAAUUUUAAGCAUUCUAAUAACCUCUCAAUAAUCUAAAAAUAAAAAUAAAUUUCUCAUCAGAUAUACAAACAAAAUUAUUGGAACAAUCCCGUACGAAACACUCAAAAAUUUUGAGGCGGUACACCUACACAGAACAAAUACAUAUGAUGAGAUUCGAACUUGGAUACUUAAUAUGCGAUAUGUAUUUUUAUUCAAGUCCUAUCAUUUCGAUUUAUUUUAUUUUUAUUUUUGUUUAAAUCCUACCAUAUGUAGGUCUUAUCCGUAUUUAUUUUAAUUGAGGUUCAGUUUAAUUUAUCGACUUGAUCAUACUCUAUAAUUAUUUUGAUCCUAAUUAUAAAUAUUCUUAAGUGUAUUUUGUACUUGCAUUUAUUAUACUUGUAACUUGAAAAAAAAUGUUAUUGCUUUUGUUAAAUUAUUAAUAAUUGAAGAAAAUAAUAUUUCAAUUUACUUGCUGGAAUCAUAAAUUGAGCAUGUUGAUGCAUUAAAAAGAAUUGUAUUUUUAUUUAUAUAUUUUAAAAUAUUUUUCAUAUACCGUUGCGUGGAUGAAUUUAAAAGUAAGGUUAAUUAUUUGUUGCUUUUUGAUAUAAAUAUUAAUAAAUAUAUAUUAUUUUAAAUUACUAAAAAAGGAAAUUUGUUGAAAGCUUUGCAUAAUUACUAAUUAAUUAAUCAUGGAGUCCCUACUAGUGUUUGACUUUUAAUGAAUAGGGGCCAAUGAAUGUAUACAUUAAAACCCACCCGUAACUUUAAAAAGGGAAAAUAAUAAAAUAUUUGAAUAAAAAAAGAAAAAUAAUAAAAAAUAACCCCCACCCCUACAUUAAUAAGAGACAAAUAAUAAAAUAUUUCAAUAAAAAAAGGAAAAUAUUAAAACCUUUUCCAUAAUAAUAUUAAUUUUAUUUUAGAUAUUUCACCAUAAUACCUUUCUAUGCCUUAUUAGAUAAUCAUUGUACUAAAAAAAAAAAGGAGAUUUAUUGAAAACUUUCCAUAUUUACUAAUUAAUUAAUCAUGGUGUUCUUAUUGCAAUAAAAUAAAAAACCAUGGAGUUAAUCAAGAAGCUGGAAAUUUUUUUUCGAGGGGUUAAAAUUAAAUUGUAUAUUUUUAUAAUAGUAAAAAUAUAAUUUCAUCAUGUUAUUAAUUUAUAUUUUUAUAAUUUUAAAAUAUUAAAUUAAAUUUUUGUUCUUUUUAAAAUGUCAAAAUAUAAUUUCAUUAUUACUAAUUUAAAAUUUUAUAAAUUAUAAAAACUAAAAUAAUAAAUUUUUAUUUUAAAGGCCGACAUCCUGUAAAUCCCUGGUUCCACCACUGCAUGGAGUUCUACUAGAAGAUUAAGUGUUUUGACUUUUAAUGGCAAAGGGGCCAAUGAAUGUAUCCAAACACACCCAUACUUUAAAAGGGAAAAUAAUAAAAUAUUUGAAUAAAAAAAUAAUAAAACCCUUUUCAUAAUAAUUUUUAUUUUAUUUUAGAUAUUUCACCGUAAUACAUUUUCAGUAUCAACAGAAUUUGAAUUCUAAUUAUUGAAAUAUCAACAAUGAGUCUUAAUAAUAAUGUUGUGGCAUUCCCAUAUAUAUAAUAUGUCAUAAGUCUUUAUAUUUUUCAUAAAUUUAAAUUUUAAUCUCUGUACUUUUAUAUUUUAGAAUUCAAUUUAUCUACUUUUAUAUUUUAAACAGUUUGACUGGUAAGUUCUACGUGUCGAUUUGAUGACUGGUACAGUGUAUCAAUUCUCAUCGAUUAAUGGAAGAAUAUACCUUAGACACCCAAGUCGAUUUGAUGGUUAGUGUCGAAUAUCGAAGACGAAAAUUAUUUAGAUUUUGGUUAAAAGGUUUGUGACGUUCAAAGUUUUUCUAUAAAAAAAAUUAAAUUGUUAAGAGGAGUAAAAUGAGAGCUUUUGAUUUGAUAUAGGCGGUGGGAACGAAAAGGGUCAUACAACAAUAAUUUUAAUAACUCAAUGACUUAAAUGAAAACUUUUAAAUAGUUCAAUGAUUAUUUUAUAACUUUUUAAAAUUGAAAAACUAAAACAUAAAUUUAUUAAUAAUUUAGUGAUACGAAAUAAAAUUUACCCAAUUUCUCUUCGUAUCUAAAAUUAUUAAAUCAAAUUUAAUAUAUCACAAUUGUUACCUAACUUUUGACUGUUUGAGACGUGGCCAUUCGAACUUACCAGUGGAUAAGCUUCAAAUUUGUGGUUCUUUUUAUUAGUUGAGUCAAUUUUAUUGAUUUAUUCGUGAUUAAGUUUUUUUUAUAGAUAUUGUUAUUAAUAUAAAAUGAUGUGUGUUCGAGUAUGUUGAGAUAUAUUAUUUUUUUAUUUAUGGAUUAAGGACGAAUUAUGAAUUAUUUUAAAUAUUGUAUAUCGAAAAGAGUUUAUUUAAAAAAAAAUUAAUGAUUUAUUAACUCAUUCUUCAAUUUGCUAAUACAUUUUGACAAAAAUUAAAUGGAUUCAUCAAUACAACCUAAUUUUAUCAAACAUUUUCUUUCAACGUUUGAUACGGUUAGACAAUAAAUCGAAGAACCGUCGAAAGAGUUGGGGGCAAGUGGUUAUAUAUAGAUAUUUAUUAUAAGGGUCAAUAUGAUCUUUGGUAUCUGAAUUUGAAUUUUUUUAAUUUGGUAUAUAAAUUUUUUUUAUUUAAUUUGAUAUUUAAAUUUGACUUUUUUCUUAAUUUGGUACCUAAAAUUAUUUGGUGCCUAGUUUGGUACGUGAACUUGGCAUUUUUUCUUGAUUUGGUACCUAAGUUUUUUUUAGUUCAAUUUGGUACCUAAAUUUAAUAAAUGUUAUACAAAUUACACAAAAUACUAAUGGUGUUUUUUUUUAUGCUACAAAAAUAUUGUCAAUAUUAGAGGAAAUUCAUGUUAAAAAAAUAAGUAUUGAGUUAUGCUUAGCGAAUUAAUAUUAAAUAAGAAAAAAAGAGUUUUAAAAACUAAAAUUAAAAUAAAUUCAUUAGUUUCAAUUAAUAAAUUAAUUAAUCAAAACUAAAAGAAUUUGAACAUAUAAAAUACAAAAAAAUAUCAUAUCAUCUGUGACAUGUCGGUCAUUCAUUGAUUAUUUUUGCUACCUCAUAAAAAAAUAACAUUGUUAGUAUAUUGGAGUAAUUUGUAAAACGUUUGACAAUUGCAAGUACCAAAUCGAACAAAAAAAGAUUAGGUACUAAAUUAAGAAAAAGAGUCAAGUUCAAGUACUAGAUUAGGAAAACGUGUCAAGUUUGGGUACUAAAUUGGACCCAAAAAAAGUUUAGAUACCAAAUUAGGAAAACGUGUCAAGUUCAGAUACUAAAUGUCAUAAAUUUAUAAAUAUAUAUAUAAAUUAGGUAAAAAUAUCUAUCUAGUCUCUUUCAAUUUCAAUAUUAAGUAAAUUGGCCCCUUUAAAAAAAUUGGAGCAAUUUAGUCUUUGUCAAUUUCGAAAGUAAACAAUUAAGAACAAUUAAUCACAACAUUAGGUUUUUUUAUCAAUUUUGCAUAAUUUUGAUUAGUAUAAUAACAAGCUUAGACCUUGAUGUUUAUAUAAAUUUUGCAUAAAUGUUGUCAGAAUGUAAGCGUUGCGAGCUAAAUUUGUUAAUUAAGAUGAAAUUGACAUAAUGUGUAAAUAUUGUGGGUUAAAUUUGUUAAAUCAACUUAGAAUUAACAAAAUGUGUAAACUUUGAGCAUUAAAUUUGUUAUUAUACCAAUAAAAUAUAUAAAAUUGACAAAAAACAGCAAUAUUGUGAUUAAUUGAACUUAGUUGCUCACUUUUGAAAUUAACAAGGAUUAAAUUGCUUUGGUUUUUUUAGAGAGAUCAAUUACUUAAUAUUGAAAUUGAAAAGGACUAGAGAGGUCUUUUUGCCUAAAAAUCAAAUGCGGUUUUGGUUGAAAUAGUAAAAAAUCAAUAGAAGAAAGAUUUUGAGAUAUUGGGUUCAAAUCCCAUCAUUUGCACGCAUUUUUAUGUCAAAAAGUAAAGAUACCCACAAUAUUAUAUUUGUUGCUUUAUAAAAAUAUCGAGCUUUUGUUAAUGUUACAACUAGAUUAGAACUUGGUUAAGAGUGACACUAACGCAGUCAAAAACUUUAUAGUACUAAAUUUUGUUAAAAAAACAUUUUAUUCUCUUAUCUUGUUAAUAUUAAUUAUUUUAAAAAAUAAAUAUUUCAAUAAUUAUCUUAUCUUUGAAAUUGAAGGAUUUUAUAUUGAGAGUCGGAUUGUAUUUUAUUCUCUCUGUUCAAAAAAUGGAUAAAUUAAUUCAUGUACAUUAGAUUAAAGAAUAAGCUGGUUCUUCUAUUAAAAAAUUAAUAUAUUUUUACUAUUCAAAAUUGGUCAUUAUAAGUUCAACAUGAAGCAUACAUGACAUGCCACGUGUUAAUGUUUGAUUAUUCUGUCAAUUACAUCAGUUUUUAACCGUACAAAUGUAUAAACCCAACAAAAUAUAGAUUAACUGAAUUUUGUCAUAUUGUAAGCUUAAGGACCUCCACUAAAACAAUUUCAUAAUUUGAUAAUUUAAUAAAAAAUAAUUAUUUUCCAUAUCCGUCAACCGAAUCUUUGAAUGCAACAAUCUAUACAACCAAUUAUUUUAAUUCAUAAUAUAUAUAUACUUACUAAUAUUUUAAAUUUUAAUAAAUAAAAGAAUAAUGAGCAAAAUCAAUAAAAUAAUAUAAUGAGAAUUUUCUUUUAAAUAUUAAAAGGUUAAAAAUUUUAUUAAUUGAAUCGAUAAGGGUCUCUCUUAUUUUUAACUUGUAGUUGAGAGUUCGAUCAUCAUUUUAAAUAUAGAGUAAUUUUAAAACUCGUAACUCAUGACUAAUGUUUAUUCUAUUAAUGGAUCUAUCGAAGACGAAAAAUUAAUUAUUAAAUUCACUCUAGGUAAUACUUAAAAAAAAAUUAAUUGGAUUAGAUUGUUUUGACUUGGUCGGUUUGAAAAGGAUUAAAUUAUGUUUAUUUAUUUUUAAAAAUUUAUUUACAUUAAAUAAUAAUUUUAAAAAACCAUUAGCAUGAGACUGUAACAUAUGUUUGCUGUCCUUGUCAGUUGUACAGAUAUUUCUGUAUUUUGUCGUGGGUAUCAUGCAUGUGUUCCACGUUUGUUUGUCUUUUAUUAAUAUUUAUUUUAUUAAUAAAGUAGAAAUUGGCUUUAUCCAGAGUAAGGAUAAAGUUAUGGGUCGGUUCUAGGUUCGGUUUUAAAAAAAUUUCAAGCUCGAACCUAGUUUGGCUGAUCGAGUAGCUCGUUUUAAUGUUUAGAAAAUGAUUAAAAUAUUUUCAAAAUUGUUUAUAGAAUAAAAAUAUAUUGUUAAUAUAUUAAAUAUUAAUUCGAUUUUUUUAUAUAUUCUUUUAAUUUUUGAUGUAUUAAAAUGAAGGUACACUCAGAAAUUAUUAUUUUUCAAUAAUUUUUAAGGAAAAUAUUUAAAUAUUAAAUUUUGGCUAUUAGUCCUUAUAUUUUACGUAAGUUAUAAAUUUAGUUUAUAUAUUUUUCAAAAUCUAAAAUUUCAGUUCUCAACAAACGAUAACUAUUAAAUUCAUUAAGUUAACUUUUCUUAUUUUCAUAAUUUGAUGUGAUAAACAUAUUAUUAUAUGUAUAAUACAAUGUUAGCUUAUUAUUUUCACGUAUUAUUUACUAAAAAUUCGAUUAAUAAAUUAACGAUUGUCAUUUGUGUGAAUAUAUUUUUAAAAUUUGAAAAGUAAAGAAAUUUAGAAUGAUCUAACUGGAGAAUAUGAAUUAAAUCUACAACUAUACGCAUAAUACAAGACUAAAAUUUUAAAAUUAAAAAGUAUAAAGACUAAAAUUAACAAAUUUAAAAAAUACAAAAACUAAAAUUAAUCAAAUUAAAAUAUAAAAAUUAACCCACCGUUUUUACAAAAAUAUAAAAAUUUGUCAAAAUAUUGGCUGAAUGUGAAAACUCGAAUUCGUCCUCGGAAUCUUGCAUAAGUUUCAAUUAUUUUUGUCUGACUUUUUAAUUCACUAAAAUCCAAAAAAAGUGAAGACAAAAAAAAAUUAAAAAUAUUAAAAUAUACAGAACAAUAAAUUCUUCUAUUUCUAAAUUAUAAAUUUAAUCUUUAUAUUUUACUUUCUUCAUUUUAGUCUCUAUACUUUUCGAAUUUAUCAAAUUUUAAUCAUUGUGUUUUUUGAAAUAUAAAAAUUAAAUUCGAACCCACACAAUAGUAAUUAAAUUUAUUUGGUUAAAUUAUGCUAUUAGUCCUCUACUAUGCAUAAAGUUGUAAAUAAUAGAUAAAAGUACCAUGAAGUUUUUGUACUAGGAGCUAAAUUGUAUUUUACCCUCCUUAUUCAAAACUUGAGUGAAUUAAUUCUUAUACAUUAGAUUAAAGAACAAAUUGGUCAUUCUAUUAAAGAUUUCAUUCAUUUCUACUAUUAAAGCCUAGACAUUGUACGUCGAAAUGAGGUACAUGUGGCAUGUUACAUGUAUCUAUCUGUUUUUUCUGUCAAUUAUGCUAAUUUUUAACAAUAAAAAUGAAAUAAAUUUUUAUCCGAAAGGACUAGUUUGCUCUUAAAUUUUAUGUAUAGAGACUAAUUUCCUUAUUUUUUUGAGUAAAAAAGACAAAAUCUAAGCUGAAUCUUACUAUAGGGGCCUCAUGGUACUUUUACUUCAAUAAUAUUCUUGUUGUUCAAAGUUUUAAAAAUAGCGGAAGUUAACCGGAUUUAAUUACUGUCGUUUGACCUGAACUGAAUUUUUCAAAGUUUGAAAUAUAUAAAGAAAAAUGACCUAAUUAUGAAUAUAAAAAAUAUGGAAUUAAAAUAAGGGACUAAAUCCAUAACUAUGCGUAGUACAGGGACAAAUAAAAAUUAACCCAAAAAGUGCACUGUUCAAUCUUUCAAAUUCUGGGAUUCAGCUGAGGGUGAGAGAGACAGAUGAGUGUCAAUAAAUAAAUCAAUAAAGAAAACCUCAAAAAAUCCAUUGCCUUUCAUUUUAUUUCUAUUUCACUUUACUACUUUUAUUUCUUUCUUUGAAAUCAAACUUCUGUUCUUCCAAUUUGAUACUCUGUUCUUCCCAGUUCUUUUUUCUUUUUCUGUGCUCUGUUUAUUUUCCCGGGAAAGUUGAAAAUUUUCUUUUCAUUUCAGUUAGAAAAUUGCUCUCGUUGAAAGACCUAAACGUUUGAAAUCAUGGGUUUUUGUUGAAACCAAGAAAUCUUUAAAAUUUCCCUGCCUUCGAUCAUAAAAAAUAAGAAAAAAGAAAAUUUUCCCUCAUUUUCUCUCGUUUUCUCGGGCUUUCUAUUGUUUUCGUUUCUUAACUUGGGCUUGAAAUUACUGUGUUUUGAAAGGUAAAGAUCCACUAUUUGUUUCUUCAUCGUCGAUCAAAACAGAGCAAGACUCGAAGUUUUCUUUCUAAAAAACGUGUUUAAUUGAAUCCCCUCUUAGUUUUCGUUUCUCGUUUUUCCUUAAAAUUUUCCCGAGAAAAGUGUAAUCUUCAAAAUCCAGCAGGGACCGAAAAAAUAGUUUGAAUUAAAAAAAGGUUGUCAACUUACAAACAAGAUUCUUCGUUUUCUCACUUCAGUUUUUCCCUUUUUCCCCUUAAAUUUUGCUGUCCAAACGUCAAAAAUUAGGAAUUUUCUCUUCAAAAUUCACAUUACCUAAAAUCACGUCAAUCUCGCUCUGCUUUUUCUCCCUUUGAUUUCUUCUACUGUUCAUCAACACCAAGUUUAAAAAAAAAAACCAAAAAAACAACACCACCAAACUCCCUGCGCUUUUUCUUGUCGUGUCUUUAUCUUUCUUGUCCAAAAAACCAUGAUUUUGGACUCUGUUGCAAAGCAAUCCAAUCUCGAUUGCUUCCUUCAAUGCACAACUCCCAC
Molecule: long non-coding RNA, 46484 nt
Filed under: Gossypium barbadense (sea-island cotton)
Lineage: Eukaryota; Viridiplantae; Streptophyta; Magnoliopsida; Malvales; Malvaceae
Description: long non-coding RNA (GBAR_LNC000017)
Rfam family: MIR7502 microRNA precursor family (bases 11006-11151)
Source: RNAcentral